This 70179-nucleotide long non-coding RNA is filed under the name Cucumis sativus (cucumber). RNAcentral describes it as "long non-coding RNA (CSAT_LNC001635)". Lineage: Eukaryota; Viridiplantae; Streptophyta; Magnoliopsida; Cucurbitales; Cucurbitaceae. The record is from RNAcentral.
AAAUACCAAAGAAAUUAAGCAUCAAUUGUACAUAAUUAAUCUGAAUAUCAGAGCUAGAGUCCAAACAUAUAUCAAAUUAAGUUUUGUUUUUUGUUAAUUAUAAAAAUGAAGAAGUUGCAGCUUCUUGAUCUCUUCUUUUUUGUUUCUAUUGUUUCCAUCGUCCUUUUGGUUUCUCAAGAAGUUGAUGGAAGGAAGUCUUUACUCCAAAAAGAAGGUAGAGAUGAUUUUAAUAAGCUUGUCAAACAAAGUACUACUUUAGAUGCAGAUUUUCAUGGUGAAAUGGUGGGUCGUAAUCAAAAGAAAAAAUUACCAACUGAUUUGGAAGAUAAUCCUGAGGAUCAAAAGGGCGAAAAUUCUGAAGCUGAUGAAAAAGGAUCAGAGGAAGAAGACGUUCCUGGUGAGGAAGAAGGAGAAUAUGGAGAUCUUGGGGAUGUUGGAGACCUUGGAGAUUGUGGAGGAGACGAAUCUGGAGGUCCUGGAGGAGAUUUUGUAUAUCCUAAUAAUUGUGGAGGAGAAUUUGGAGAUGAUGAUGGAGGAGCUUUGGAAGGAGAUGAUGGAGAAGGUCCUGGAUCAGAAGAAUCUGGGGAAGCACCUGAAGAUCAGGAUGGAGGAGAAUCUGGAGAAGAGGUUAGUAGGGACAAGAAUGGAGAAGAAUAUUCUAAAGAAAAGGCACCUGGAGACAAUUAAGUGAACAUUCUAAAGAUUGUAAAUGAUAUGAUGGAGAUAAAUGAGUGAUGACAUGCAUAAAUAUAAUAACAAUAAUAGCUAGUGUACGUUGUAGAGUAUAAUAAAGAAGACAAGAAUAAAAAGUAUAUUGUUGGAUGAAAACAAAAACAAAAACAAAUUCUAGUGUUUAAAUUCAUAGGAAUAUAUGGUAUCGAAUUAAAAUUAUAUGUAUGCAAUUAAUAAAAGCUAGUAAGAUAAAUAUAUAAGAGGCAUUAUGAUAUAGUGUUUAAAGUUUGAUUUUGAGUCAUACAUUUGAUCUCCAAGCUAAGGAAUAUAUGUGCAUGUGUAUUAUACACAACUUACCUAAAAUAAGGGCUUUUUAAUUCUUUCUUUUUUUCUUCACACAAUAAAUUAGUUUUUUCUUUUUCUUUUUCUUUUUCUUUUUCCUUUUUAACUUAAAUGAGCUUUAGAUUUUUUUUCUUUAUCAAAUUGUAUUAAAUUAUGGUUAAUUAUAUUAUAAUAAAUUCCUAUAUAUCUUUUUUUUUUUUCAUGUAUUGGAGCUAAAACAUAUUAGAAAAAUCAAACUUCUAAGGUUGAAAUUAAUAACACAAACACUAUCUCAAUUCAGUUAUAAUCAUGUUUGGCUUCCAUAAAUAAUUUUAUAUAAAAUUUAAUUGUCCAUUUAAACUUUAAUGAUUUUAUUAAACUAUCUUUUUAAGUGUGAAGGUUUCUAAACCAUCUCGAGUCUUUAUAAAAAGAAAUUAUAAUAUGUAUAUGCCAAUUAAUGUGUAAGAAAUUAGAAAUUAAAAGUAUGUAUGAAAAUAACUAACAUAUGGUGAUAGAUAUGGUAGACAUACUUACCUGAAAACAUGAUCAAUUUUUUCUAAUUGUAUCUAAUAUUUCUAUUAGAAAUUAACAUGCAUUACUACCUAAUUAAAUAGGGUUAAUGAAACUCACGCUUGAAGCUCCGAUUCACUUGAAAUCUCCAGUCGAUCUCGAACUAGACCACCACUAGUGCUGACCCACUAUUCUCCAGACUUAGAACCGGCUUGUGGGAUCCAAUAAAGGUGAAGAAAUUAAGAGAGAUAUGAAUAGAAAUUGGAUUAGGGUUGAGAGGAUUUUAGAUGAGUUUUAUUUUUAAUUUUAAAGAAAAAUAAACUAACUUCUCAAAUGUCUUUACAUAUUUGAAAAAUCAAUCUUUAAAUAGACAAAAUGCAUGCAACUAUUGUAUGUCUAAACUCACCAAGGCCCAACAUCUCAUAUUCUAUUAACUUUUAGUGGGCUUGGUGUCAUCAUCAUAAACUUCCCAGUUAGCCCAUUAAUGAGUUAAUAGAAUUAUGCAAAAAUGCACUUUCUUUUAGUGGGCUUGGUAUCUCAUUACCACGAGUUUUCACAUAGCCUACUAAAAGUUAGUGAGAUUAUCCAACAAGUUAUUGGAUUUUCUCACUAACUUUAGUCAAAUGGUAAAAUGGUCAUUUAACCAUUCAAGAUAAAGUCAAAAGUCAACAUUUUGACUUUUUAAUAUUUAGCUGGUCUAGACUAUUUCUAAUUUCAUGAGCAUGAAUUCACAUUCAUUUUUCCAAAAUUCAAAUCACAUUUUAAUAUAUUGUGAAUCAAAAAUUGACUUUUCAAAUUUAAAAGUCAACUCUUUAACUUUUCUCCUAUUUCCAUUAUAUUUGAGCUUUUGAAUAUGAUUCUACAUUCGCAGUUUUUUAUAUUUAAAUCAUAUUUAAAUAUAAAGCUCUCUAUCUCUAAACUAAUAACCAAUUGUUAGAUCACAUAUAUUUGUCGGUUUCUCUCUCCUUUCAUAAUUCAAACUAUACGAACUAAUCCAACAUAUUGUUCUAAGUUAAUUCCAUAUGAGCUAGCAGAGGAACCUAAUUGACCUAUAGAUCAUGGGCUCCAACGAUCCGAAAUUAACUGAUUAAAUACUUUUAGACCAAGUUAAUCAACAUUUGUUAACUAUCGAGUCAUUCCACUAAAAUCUCGGAGUUGCACUCCCCUUACUAUAGAUAUAUGUUGUGUCCAUCUGAUAUAACCACGAUUGGUAAGUUAACCUUUCACACAGGUUGUUCGUAACAUCGGUUAAGUCAUAAUACCGUUUUACCUUUGAGAUUACAUAUUGCUCCUUAAGUCCCACUGAUCCACUAUUAAACAAUGAGUUUAAGGUCCAACUUAUAAACUGAAUCUCUCUUGAGACCAAUUAGAAGGUAGGGCCCCUUGUUCAAGACUUGGAUUCAGUCUUCAAAUAAACAACCUAUCUACUAAUCAUAUAGUUUAUAGGAGUGAAUUCCAUCUUGGCACCUUGUGCCUCCAGCCAUCCACCCGAUCUUAUCCCUUAAAUGAGAGGCUUAUUAGUUCAACGCUAUUAAGAUACCAUCACCUAUGCAUAUCUAAGGAUAACCUCGUGUGGACAGAAGUCCAUAGUUAGCUCAAGAUUAAGAUUAAGCUACCUAAGUCAUCAAUAAUCAAAAUAGUCAGUUUUUUACAAUCAACGGUGUUAUAAUAUAAAAGUGACUAUUUCAGGGUUUUGGUCUUAUAUAAGCUUUUUACAUAGAAUCCCCACUUUCAUAUCUUCGCAUGAACGAUUUAGAAUCACUUCGUUUGUACUAACUACAAAACGGGCUGCUUCCAUAAUGUCCCCAAAGGUGCCUAACCUUAUUAAUAUACUAUAUAUCGUUUAGGCUAUAUACUCAAACUUGAUCCACAUAUAUAUGCUUUUACAUAAAGUCGUUCAAGUUUACUCAAGAAAACCUUGAGACCUUAGUUUAUUGAAUUUAAUAUAUAGUAUUCAAUUUCACUUUAGUUCCUCAAAUAUGAUUUUAAAUUAUAAACUACAAGUUUUCUAACAUAAAUUCAACCUAUGAUAUGGAGUGAAAAUGAUACAUCUUUUUUAUUUAAAUAAACAGUAACAUCAGUCUAAAUAUUAUUAUAAAAAAUUGAAUAAGAUUGAUGACAUGUAUACUUUCAAAUUUUUACCACUAAACUAUUGUAUCAAUUUUAAUUGAUCGCCAGAGAGAUAUAAAGAAGAAGAAGAAGAAAGAAAGAAAAACUCUCCAAAAGUCCUUAAGCAAUACUUGAUUUAUAAGUGAUACUGACUUCAUUUUUUAAAUUUUGAGUUGAGUGAUGAGCAUUGGAAUAAUAAUCAAUUUCUUUUUGUAGUUUACUUAUGGUUGGAUUCAUUACAGUAAGACCUCAUUCAGAAUAAAUGAAGGAAGGUGGGUAAUUCUACAAAUAAUUAAGUAUGUGUUUCGAUGUUGAAUGAGUUAUUAUAGUUUAAGAGUUUUAUAAUAAAUUGUAUAUUAUUAUAGGUUAUGUUUGAUGCGCAAAGGAUUAAUAACAUAUGUUAUUAUAGUCUUAUGUUUGAAGUGCAUAGUAUUACAGUUUAAGUUAUUACCGUGUAUGUUUGAAGUACAAAUUAUUAUUAGUCCAAACUAUAGCAAUAUAAAUAUAAAAUAAAUAUUAAUUAACUUAAAUCAUGUUUUGGUAUUAUCCAUUAAAAUUUAUAUAAACUAGUUUUUUACUACAUGCACUUUUUAUAAUAUAAUAUCUUUUAUAAAAAUUGAUUUGUGAUUUUACAUACUAUAUAUAUAGUAAUAUUAUCCAUUAAAAUCAAGGAAACAUUAAUUUUAAACAAAGAAGAAAAAAAGAGAUAAUUUUAAAUUAAAGAUAACCUAACGAUAAUAAUAAUAAUUUAGAAAAAAAGCAUCAAAAAGGAAAAAAAAUGAGAAAAUGUAUUUUUAAAAAAUAGUAUUAUAAUUAAAGUAAAAGCGUAUUUGGAAUGGCUUAGAAUUUUUUUUUCAAUAAUUCUUUUUUAUUUAAACACGUUUGAUACAAACUUCUUAAAAUAAAAACACAAAUGUGUUUGUUCACACGAGAUUUCGAAGAAAUGUAUUUCGUGGAAUUGAACAUUGAUAUAUUGAUGAAUAUUGAAUAUUGUGAAUACAAUCUCUAGUAUUUACUCUUUUGAUAUUUUUCCUCGAAUACAAGUUAAAAACUUAAAACUUCUUGGUCUUCGGUCUUCAGAAUGUUUUAGUUGCAAGUCGAUUUGAACUUCGAUCUUCUGGAAUUUAAGUAAUAAUCAUGUCAUCAACAUAGAGAAGAAGAAGAACGAUACCAUAGGGUGUGUGGCGAGUAAAGAGCGCAAUAUCAUGAGGGCUAGAAGAAAAUCCAAGUUGAGUAAUGGUAGAGCUAAAUAUGGCAAACCAAGCUCGUGAAGCCUGUUUCAAACCAUAUAAUGUCCGACGCAGGAGACACACCUUAUGAGGAGGUGGAGACGUACCAGGAGGUGGCUUCAUAUAGACUUCUUUGGAAAGAGUUCCAUUAAGAAAUGCAUUUUUUACAUCCAUUUGAAGGAGAAGUCAUUUCUUGGCAGCAGCAACGACUAAUAGACUUCGAAUAGACGUCAUGAGAGCCACAUGAGCAAACAUUUCUUCAUAGUCAAUACCAUAUUCUUGCGAGCAUCUUUUUGCAACAAGUCGAGCCUUAUAACGUUCAAUGGUGCCAUCAGAGUGAGUCUUGAUUUUAUAAAUCCACUUGCAACCAAUGGGUUUUACCAGGAGGUAAAUCAACAUAGUCCCAAAGUGUGCGUCUUUUCAAGAGCUUGUAAUUCAUCAUUCAUUGCUUGUUGCCAUAAAGGGUCAGUAAUAGCCUCUUGAUAAGAGGUAGGUUCAACAAGAGAGAAAAUAGUGGAAAAACAAUGAUAAUCUUGAAGAUGGAUGAGAGAUUCUCUUAUCCGGGCAUAACGAUGAAGAGGGAUAUCUGGAGUAGGUUCAGGACUAUCAUCAAAGACGAAUGACUGGUUCGAGUUUGCAGGAGUAGGUGCAGAUUAAGUGAGCUCUGUAUCAGAAGUGGACUCAGAGAGAAGAAAAAGAUCAACUGAUGUAUCAGUGAAGAAAGAACGAGGACUAAAGAAGGAGGUGUGAAAGGAGGACAAGUGAGAGAACAUAGUAUGUUCCCAAAAUGUGACAUGGCGAGAUAUAUGAAGUCUGUUAGAAAUAAGGUCCCAACAACGAAAACCUUUUUGUUCUGUGCCACAACCAAGAAAGCAACAAAGGCGGACACGUGGUUUAAGUUUAAUGUGUUCAUGAGGAUGGAGAAGAACAAAGCAAGCACAAUCGAAAACUUUAAGGUUAGAGUAGUUAGGAGAAGUACCAUAAAGUCUUUCGAAUGGAGAGAUGUUCUGAAGAACAGAGGAAGGAAGUCGGUUGAUGGUUGCUUCACCCCAAAAUUUUUUAGGAGAAGAGGUAGAGAGAAGGAGCGCACGUACUGAGUGAAGGAUGUGACGAUGUUUGCGCUAAACACACCCAUUAUGUUGAGAAGUGUGGGGACAGGAGCGCAGAACAAGAGUGCCCUACUAAGAGAGAAAAGAAAGGAGGGUGAAGUCUUUAUACUCCAAGGCAUUAUCAGUGGAGAGGAUUUUAAUAGGACAAGAGAAUUGAGUGUGAAUCAUGGUAGCAAACUCAAUAUAAGUGUGAGAUAAUUCAGAGCAAUGUUUAAGAAAGUAAAACCAUGUAAAUCGAGAAAAACCAUCAAUAAAAAUAACAUAGCAGCGAUAGUUUCAUGGACAGUGGUAGUGGGGGCAGGAUCCCAAAUAUCAUAAUGAAUUAAAUCAAAAUGUUUAUCGCAUAUAGAAGUGGAGUGAGAAAAAGACAAAGCAGGUUGCUUAGCAAGUUUGCAAUUUAAAUAAUUAAAAGGAACAAACUUACUACGUUAUUCAAAUUGGUAGCAAAAAUUAAAUAACAAAGUUUUUCGGAAGAAGCAUGACCAAGACGAAGGUGCCACUAAUAUGUAUCAAAGUCAGUGACAGGAGCAGAGAUGGAUGAAGGAGGAGAAAGCUGGAGUAAUAGGAGCUCAAAUAAUCUUCCCACUUUGUGACAUAUCCCAAUCAUCUGUCUCGUCUGCGGAUCCUGAACCUGACAACCAUUAGGAGAAAAAGACACGGUUAAUCCAAGAUCAUACAGUUGGGACACAGUAAGUAUGAGGAAGACUCAAACUAGGGGUAUCAAUGGUGUCAAUAUGGGAGAUGUUCAUACAAUUGUCAUCAGCAUCAUAAAUUGGAGGUAAAGAUUUAGCAGAGCGAGAAGUAUUGAUAAGAUAAAAAUAAGAUGUUUUCUGGUUGCAACAAGCAGAGUCAAGAAGCCAUCGAUUACCUUGUGAGACGGCAAGUGCAGAGGAAGAUAAUGAAAUUAACUGAUUUAAUAGGCUCUGAAGAUCACUUAUCUGAAAAUGGGGAGAGGUGGAAUCAUUUGAGGCAGCUUCAACAACAGAGGAGGUGCCAAGUUUAGUAAAGUUCUUUGCUUUAGGAGAAUAACCUGGAGGUCAAGGUAGUCUUGUGGGGCAACUAUCCAGAAUAUGUCCAUGUUUAUGGUAGUACCUACACUCUAUUUUAGAAAAAUUAAUGAAUUUAUGACCGGAGAGCCUACAGUUUUUACAAAAAGCAUUUGAUGCUCCAUUGGAUGGAUAAGUAGUUCCAAGAACAACAUCAAAUUGUUUCCAGAGAUUGAUGCCAAGGCGUUUUUUCUCAAAUAAAAUCUCUUGGAUAGUUGCAUCCAACGAGGGCAAGGAAUUGCGGUGUAGUAAAGCAACCCGAUACUCAAAUUCUAGACGUAAACCCAUAAGGACCUUAAUAAGGCGAAGGUGAUGUUCACUGAUUUUAGCUUGAUCAAGUUGAGUCCAGAUAUGUUGAAGUACAACUAGAUAUUCGUUAACAAAUUGACCGACAUCUUGAUUGAGAUUGGCAAGACUAUUCCCUAGCUGAUAGUAGUGAGCUAAUCCGACAUAUUUAAAUCUUGUAGACAAAAAAAUCUCAUAGUUCUUUAGCAUCCUUAAAGACAUCAAAUUCUGUAUGAAUAGCAUAAAUCGAUGUAUUACUAAGCCAGGUGAUAGUCUGAUGGUUUUCUACUGUUCCAAUCUUCGAGGCGUUUCAUAAAUUUGUUGUCAUCUUCAUUUUCCUGUUCGAUUGGUUUAGUAAUAUCACCGGUGACAAUACGUCAUAAUUUUCGUCCAAUGAGAAAGCUUUUCAUUUGAUUUGCCCAAGUGAGAUAAUUGCUACCCUCAAUGAUUGUACUAAUAGGGCGAAUAACAUGGUCUUUUUCUAUUAAAGUGAACUUUUGAAGACAAGUUUACUAAGUAAUAUGAAUAAAAUACUCAAUCUAUGAGAGAUUCAGAUACAGACAGUGACAAACAAUGAAAACAAGAGAUAGUUCGACAACUGAUGCGAACGAAGAGGCAGAGCGUUAGAACGCAGGUGAGCAGUACGACAACCAGGUGACACUGAUCUGGAACGAAGAGGCACGACAUCAUGGAUUCGAACCACGUCAAAUCGGAGAUGAAUCUGUAAUGAAGAGGCAGGCAUCGUGGAUCUGAACUAAGCCGAAUUGGAGAUGAAUAGUACGAAGAACAAAGAAACAACGUUAACAUUGGUGCAGUCAAAGUCGAACGUAGGUGAAUCGGUUGUGAAGAACAUAGAAACAUCGACGACAAGAUCUACACAAAGAACAGAAAGAAACAAGGAGAGAUUGGAUUUCUUGGCAGGGAGGAUUCGCCAGCAAGUUUCUUGGCAAGGAGGAGCGACGUCAAUGGUGGUUACACAAUAUCUAGGUUAGAUGACUCUGAUACCAUGUGCUUUAAUUGUUUAUUGAUAAAAACAUUGUGUGUACUUUACAAAGAGAUAAUUUGAAGAUAUAGACAACCUAUACAACUAAAUAACGUAAGAAAUUAUAUUUUACCGAAAUUAUGUAAUUUACAUUAAUAAUAAUGAAAAACUUCAAAGAAAACCCAAAUCCACUACUCUUUACCUCUUAAAAGAGACUUAUCCCUCCAUGGAUUCAAAAAAAUGGAAGAAGAAAUUUGAGUUCGGGAUGAAUUCAGAAUGAAAUUUGAGAGGGUUUUGGAAGGAUAUUUUGAGAGAGGUUUUUUUUAGAGAUUUUAAGUUGGAGAAUUCAUAAAUGAAUGAAUGACAGUGAGAGGAGGCUUUUAUAGGGUUUUAGGAUGUUUCGAUAAAAAAAAAAAAAUGGCGGAAAACCAACAUAAAUGAUGAAGAAGACGAAGGGAAUGGGGUUUUUCAGGUCAGAUGGGAGUUUUCAUGAAAAAUAAAAAAGAAACGUCUGUAGGAUUCGAACUUGUGACCAAUAAGAGGCGAUGCUGAAACGUGACAUAGAAUGAGAGGUGGAAAGAAAUGAGCGUGAAUGAGGGCAAAGGAAAUCUUAUGUAAAUUGGUAUUUAAUUACGAAACUACCACUCAAAAAAUAAAAUCCUAAAGGAAAGAUUCGAACUCGAAACGUGGGAGGCGCGCGACUUGGCCAAAACGAUGUUGUUUUGGCAUUUGAAAAUCCGAAAAUAAGUCAAGUCGAGUGAAUUUGUAAACUGAGACAUGAAAUGACCCUCGCGGAUCAGAUGGCGACACGUGGCGGGCGGAGUUCGACUUAUUUUUCCAAAAUGCCAUUGAUCUUUAAAUUGUCCGUUUUCUAUUGUUCGGACUCCAUUUGGGGUGAUUUUCAUUGUGUUAGAUUUGUAAUGGAGUCUACUGUCACAUUAAGCAUGAAAAUAUCAAAAUAAUGAAUAUAUAUACAUUAUGCAUCAUGAAUAAUCUACUAAAUUAUAGUCAAGAAAUUCCCCAACAAACGACAUUAUCAAUUUUAAAUUAUUGGUUAAGAAGGUGUCCUUUAGGCGGGAAGAGUUUGAAAUUAUUACGGGAUUGAGGUAUAGGAUGAGACAUGUUGUUGAGUUUGAAUAAAAUAAAGCCCUUAGAUUGAGACGACUAUAUAUUUUGGUGUUAUGGCAAACAUAAAUGGGUCUAAGUUGGAUAAAGAUUACCUGAAGCUUCAGUUUGAGAGUGAUGAUGAUACGAUGGAGAUAUCCCUAUUUUAUUUCAUCGAGUUAACAAUGAUGGAAUAAAAAAAAAAGCAGCAUAUGGAUUGGACCAUGUUGGGCCUUACAAAUAAUUUGGAGGACUCCAUCAUCUACAACUGGGGUAACUUGAUAUAAGUUAAGAUACUCGACAGCUUAAAAGGUGCACUAUAUGAGAAAGUUGCCAUGCACAAGAAGACGCUUGUGAAUAAUAAGUUGUCGGAGUCAUAUAGCUUAUAGAGAUUCUCAUUCGCUUUUCAAGUUAUUAAUUAUAAAUGUGUUUUAGGGUUUGUUUUUAUACUUGUAAUUGUGUGUUCUCUCCUUUUAUUUAAUAUAAUUGUUAUAUUUGUAGGUUUGGGCAUAUGAGAUAGUAUCGUCCAUUAGUGAUCGGAUUUGUUGGUAGGAUUUUCAUUGAUGCAGUACCAUGCAUCAUGUGAUGAAGUUGCUCGUACUCACCAUUUUAAAAAAAUGGAAAUCUUCUUGAUUACUAAUAACAGAAGCAUAUAUAAAAAUGCUUCACAUUAUACAAACAUUUUAGAACCAAAUCGUACUCGGCUCAAUUUACAUCUCACUAAUUAUGUAAAUUUCACUUAAAAAAUCUUGAAAGUUUAUACUAAUAUCCACGUUCAGCCAUUUCAUUUGACUUCCAACAUCAUUUUCAUUCUCCUUCCAUUCACCACCAAAACCAACAGAUACACGAGACAUCCUACAAUACGUACAUAAAAUUAUUUUAAAAAAUCUCAAGGUGAAAUCAUUACAAAUUUAGCCGAUAUUUGAAAAAUAAAUAAAUAAAAGUGUCUUGAAAAAGUUGUAUUUGAAAUUUGGAUGAGAGUUGAUAUAAUUUUAGAAUUAUUAAUUAUUAAUAACUUCAUUAAAAAUAUAUGAAUGUCCAAAGGGUUAUAACCGGAGAUCUCAUCAGAUUUGAGAAAGCCACAUGAUUUGAUUUAUGCCUACCAACUAAACUAUGAUCAACUAUACCCAUACCCCUAGCUAAAAAACUAUAUAUAUAUAUAUGUAUUAAAAAUAAUCAAACCUUUUGACACUAACCUACAAAUCAAAAAACCUAUUGCCAAAUUCAUAUCACAAGAACUAAAAUGGUAAUUAAUUAGAUUAGAUGGACACAAUUAGCACAUCCCCUAACACAUGCAGCAGUCAAACCUACAACCCCACAAGAAUCCCCUCAUUUUUCUCAUGAAUUACAAAGCAAAAAGAAAAAAAAUCAAGGAUUUUGGAAACUCACCAUGAUCGUCCUUCAUCUUUACUAAUUUUAUAUAUGUAUUUUUUAAAUGUGCAACCCAUCCUUGUUUUGGUUGUAAAUCGUAAAUAAACCUUCUGGACUCAGUUUUCCACCUCUCAUUCCUUCCAUAGUGAACGUCGUGGGAAUUUAAACACAAACUACAUGUGAAGUACAAUUUUCUCAAACUUACUUAUCUCAUUCUGUAGAGUGGUGUCCCAUUUGUUAGGACUCCGGAGGGUAUCCGCAGUAAAAGUUAGGAAAACUUCUUGAUCUUUUGGGAGAAAUUUUCUAUGGACGUACAGAAUGGAUUGAAUUAGGGUUAAUAUGCUCCUUUUUGUACUGAUUGAAUCCCUCUAAUUUUGGAAACGAAGAAUAAGGAAAAUUCUAAGUAUUACAUACGUUGUACAUAUGGCAACUAUUGAUUGGUUAAUUGAAGAAACUUUUAAAGUUUUUUUUGGAAGAUUUUUGAACUAUGUGGGAUGACAUGAUAUGAAACUGUGCGAUUUUAAAAUUAGAAAUCCUAUUUGGUGAACCUUAAUAUCAAAUUGUAAAAUCCCGAUCAAUUUAAGAUAAUUCAAGAAAGGAUUAGAUUUGGAUUACUAGUUUUUUACUCCAAUUUUAAACACUCAACAAUUAAGUUUGAUUGCAUACAACCUUGAAUGAAGGAACUAAAACUCAAAUAAACAUAUAUGAGUCCAACAAUGAAACAACAACCCAAAAGUAAGAUAUAUUUUUGCAAAAAUAAAAAUGAAUUACAAAGUUCAAUUGGUUUCAUCUUGUAGCAUCAAUUGAAACCAAUUAUAUAGCUUCUAACCAAUUGUUGUUGCUUGAAUCUCCUAAUUGAGUUCACCUCCUCUUUAACGUGAAAAUUCAAUGUUAACGGUAGCUUCUUGGCUCUUGAAAUGUAUGAUUCAUCUUAAAAGUAAUGACAUCCUUGGAUUUCUGAGUUGGCACCCACCAUGAUGUCCAUUGACGUGGAUAAAUUGUUCAACUGAUAUUUUUCUCCAACAUUCUGUCUUAAAUGAGUGGGUAUAAAGUCAAGAACUCAGUGGUUGGAAUGAAGACAUUGAAUCUGUGAGUGCGUAAGAGACUUGGUAAGACAAUCGACUAGUUGAUUGGCCAUAGAAACGUACCAAACAUCAAGAGUUCUCCGAGCAAUUUGAUCUCGAACAAAGUGCAGGCCUAUCUUAAUGUGCAUGAAAAACAGAAUUAAUAACAAGAGCUCCUACGCUUUUAUUGUCUCACCGUAGGAUUGGUUUAGAUGAAGAACGUCGGUCAAAUUCAUAUAGAAGCUAGUAAUUAAUCCAAGUUAUCUUAGAGGCAGCAUGAGUUAAGGCCCGAUAUUAGGAUUAAGUGCUUGAGCGUGCCACAAAUACUAAAACUAUGUUAUCUUAAAUAGUUAAGAAAAUAAUUAAAUCAGAAUAUUGAUAACUAAUGAUAAUAAUUUAUCUUAACUUACGUCAGGGUUCUACAGUUUCGUGAUAACAAUAUCCUAGGUUUAAAAAUUGAAAUUUUGUGAAGCGCAUGAAUAUCAAAUGUCUAUAUGGAAGUAUGAUGAAAAAACCCGUGAAGCAAGUAGGACAACCUAAAGGGCAAAUUUUUAUUAUUUAACAACUCCAUCUUCAUAAGUUAUAAGAGAUGAUUUUUGAUUGGUUCAUCCAUUGAAAAAUAAUGAAAGAAGUUUCAUUAAAUUUUAAUAACAUCUUCUUUUCCCUUCAAUUGUUACAAAUGGUUAAAUAGAGAGACUAAAUUGUUAGUGGUUGAAGUUAAAUAAAAAGAACUGAAUUGCUUCAAAAUUGAAAAUAGAGAAAUUAAUUAAUUGAGUAGCAUAGGUGUUUUUAAGCUGUUUUAAACAAAUAUCUUACGUAUGUGUUUUAUGAUGUGAAGGGUGUGCUUUAGGAUUAAAUAGUGGUUUUCGUUGAUUAAAAUGAUUUUGAAUAUGAAAAGUAAUUAAUUGAGAGAGUGGAGUAUGACAAUGUUGAUAUAUAUGAGGGAAUGUUUUGUUUUUUUCCUAGAAAAUGCUAAGGAAGGUUGAUUGUGGAUUGAAAACAUAGAGUAUUGUGGAGAAUAGACAUUGCACAAAUGUUUUGAAAAUGUCAUAAUGCCUUAAUAAUAAUGCUCUAGUGAUUUCCAUGUAGACUACCCAUAACUUUGAGAGUUGGUGAUGUAAUGAAAUAAAUUAUAAUAAUCCUUUACCUUUGCAAUUAUUUGUGAUCUUUUGUUAUUUAAUGGAGCCAUGUGGUUGUCACACUUCCAUUUUGGGCAUGUGGAUAAUGUAUAUGAUAGGGAGGAUACAAAAGAUCUUGUUGAAUUCCACCAUAUAUUUUUAUUUUUCCUACUCCAUUUUAUUCUUAAAGUAAUAUAAGACCCAAAAUAUGUAAGAAAUUACGUUUUAUGGGUGGAAAAAGAAAAUUAAAAAUAUACAUUCAUACUAUAUGCAUUCCACUCAACUAGUUAAGACUAGUUAGGUUAUAUGUCUUUGAUCAAGAUAUUAGAUAUUAGAUGUUCAAUACAUAUUAUGGAAUUAAAGGAAAAAAAGAGAUGGAGAGAAUAAUAUUACCAAAACAUAAUUUUAAAGAGGCCAAAAACGAUGGAUCGAUCGUACACGAUUAACUUGCUUUUAUACCAAUGUCUUCUUGAAACGUGGAGAAGUAUGUUGAUUGAGAUGUAUUAAAUAUAUUUACUUUUUAGUAGAGACGUGUUAUAUUUUAUUUUGAUUUUGUGAAGUCAAAAAUUAUAUGCUAUGAUACAUUCCUUUCAUAAUUCAUUCUCAUUUUAAAGUGGCCAAAAAGUUGUUAUUUCUAUAUUGACUAACAAGUUCUUGAACAAAACAUAUAUUCGAGAGAAUCUUUUUGUUACAAACAACCAAGUUUUCAAUUAUAAUAUCGAUCAAAAUAAACAUAGUCUAAUGAUAAUUGAUAUGCACUCUUCUUUCAAAGUCUGUGAUUCAAAUUUUCAUACUCUCUAAACAUUAAACCCUAGAUAAUGUAAUUCCAUAUCAAACUAACUAAACUCUUGACAGAUAAAAAAAUGACCGACAAUUUUCACUACUUUAUUGUAUGUAUAUCUUUGGCAUAGCUUUGUGCGAUGUGGCGUAUACAAAGUCAGCCCUAUCCAUAGUAUUAUACCAGGAUAAGGUACCCAGCCUUAUCCCUAAUACUAUAGACCCUUUAAGAUGAUCUCGAACAUUGAUCUCUGUAUGUCUCUACAUACUGUUCAAGACACAUUAAACAACUUAGGAUGUUAGUUUAUUGGAUUUGAGUUAUUAAGACAAAACUAAUAAUAUAAUCAAUAACAAUUAUUACAAUAAUAACAUUUUAUUAAUAACAGUCCAUGAAUUAUAUUUACAAUCUACAAGUAUAUUACAUAAAAUGUAUAUUAUAAAAAUAUAAUAAACUAGGGCAUUCUUACACCCAUUACACAUCUCCCACUUUAGGUGUGAGAGUUUUUGUAAAUGAAUCAGCAAUAUGCUCUAAUAUUAUCUCAAUAUAAAGUGAUGGGAAUGUUCAUGUUUGGAACAACUUCUAAAUCAUGCAGGAACUUUCUAAGUAAAAAUUGCUUCUUUUGUUGCUUCACAAGCAACGACAUACUCAACCUCCAUUAAAGUCUACAAUGCAUCAUUGAUUUGAUGCUAUGUCAUACCACAACUCUCCUAUUCAGGGUGAGUACUGAUCCCGAUGUGAAUUUCCUAGAAUCCUUAUUGGUUUGAAAAUAAGAGUUAGUGUAUCCUGUAAGGAUCAAAUCCUUAGCUCCAUACAUAAGUAUGCAGUCUCUCGUUCUCCUUAGAUACUUGAGAAUAAUUUUAACUGUCGUCCAAUGGGCUAACCCUUGGUUGGACUGAUACCUAUUGACUAUUCCCAUUACAUAAAAAAUGUAUGGCCUAGUGUAGAGCAUAACAUACAAUAAGUUGCCCACAACUGAGGCUUAGGAAAUACGUCUCAUAUCCUCAACUUCUCGAGGUGUCUUAGGACAAGUGGACCUCGUGCCUAAAAGGUAAUAAAUCCUUCUUAGAGUUCUACAUCGAAUAUCGAACCAACAUUUUAUCGAUAUAGGUUGCCUGAGACAAUGCUAGCGUUUUGUUCUUACGAUCCCUUAUGAUUUGGAACCCUAGAACAUAUUGUGCCUCUCCCAAAAUCUUUCAUUUGAAAUUGGGCUGCUAGCCAAGUUUUAACGUCAGUUAGGUAUCCUACAUCAUUUCCAAUGAGAAGGAUGUCGUCCACAUAUAGUACUAAGAAAACUACUUUACCUUUGUUGAUUUUUUUGUAUACACAAGAUUCAUCAACAUUUUGGUCAAAACUGUAAGAUUUGAUCGCACUAUCAAAUCUAAUGUUCCAAGAUCUAGAUGCUUGUUUCAACCCAUAAAUGGAUCGUUUCAACUUGCAAACUUUUUGCUCCUGACCUAGGAUAGAAUGCAAAAUUUUGCUAUAGCUUGUAAAUAUUUUAAUUUAUUUUGUUAUUUUUAAAAAUGCUCCUUAAAACUAUAAGAUACAUGAGAGGUAUUCAUUAAAUAUGAUUUAAAUAAAUUAUUAAUUUAAUAUGAUUUAAUUAAUUAUAAAUUUAAUUGAUUAAUUAGUUAAUUUUUUUUUUUAAAGUUAAUAGAAUCUCAUGAUUCUCUCCAACUUCCUAAAGAAGAGGGUGUUAUAAACACGCAAAAGAAAACAAGUUUUUCAACCUGAGUCUUUGCCUCUUUGCGAAUUCUCUGAGAGAUUCUCUCAAAAGUUUUUUUUUUCAUUCCAAUUGGUUCUCACAAACCAAUCUCAUCCAAGAGAAUAGGGAGGUCUCCGAGUGGUGGUGCCCCAAAUUUGGUGUUUUAGUAGAUUCAGAGGUGUUAAACUACGUGUGUUUUUCUUUCUCUAAUCUAUAAUUUUAAAGCAUGCUUAGCCUCAAUUAGAAAAUUGUUUCUCUAACUAUUACCAAUGUACAAUAUUUUUAAGUUUCCAAUUGAAUUGAUCUAAGAUAUCUAUAAAAUUUGUCGCAGCAAAAGGUUUUCAUCCCCUCAGUAAGAAAACAUGGGCCAAAGAAGCUCACAAAAAAGGACACAAACCUAUAAGAAUGAGCUUUAGUAAGACCAAACGAAUAGUUACAAAAUAAAGUUUUAUAACAAUGGAAACAUGGAUGUAGCUACAUAUGGCUACCGUCACACAUAAUUUUUUAUGUUCUUGUAUUGUUACUACAUAUAAAAGAAAGAAGAUACAACAUCUAGAACGAUAGAGGAACUUCAAGGUGGUAGUUCCAAACUUCAAAACAAUGAGACUUUGAAGAAAAACAUUGUGUAAUCCAAUUUGAAGGCCAAAACGGUGUAUUUUGGGACAAAGGGUUGGACAAGCUACCUUUAGACAACGUCUCAAAAUGUUAUAUGUAAUAAAAAAAAAUCUUGCAAUUCAGACAACUAUAUUCUCAGAGUUAUGGUCUUCUAAAGUUUCAACAUAGUUUUAUGUAACUUUGAAGGAAAUUCGAUGUCAAGAUAUGUUAAUAGAAUGCUUAAUCUAUGAAAAUAGAUGUAAAGAUCGUGAAAAAAUGCAUCAAAUCAAGUGUUCGUAUGCGUAAAACGAGUUAGUAUUGAUUGAGAUAUAAGUUGUGUCAAGAGAAUUCAACUUUCUUAAGGAAGAAAGGAUACAAAUGACCUAAACAAAAAAAAAAAAAUGAAAUAACAUCAAUAAGCAAAAAAAAUACCUAUUCUUAUAUAAAGCCGUAAUGUUCAUCUAUCAACAACUAUAAAAUUUUAGAAACAAGCACCGAACGAGUUGCUACACAAAUGAACAGAUAUCCAUCUAACUAACAGUAACUAGAAGUUUAAUUAGAAAAACUGAGUGCAAACUAGCUAAUUAAGAUUCUAUAAAAAUCAAACAUAAUCUAUUACUCUAAAUCACCAGAUUCACAUACAUUCUAAAAAUAAUAACAAAUCUUACAAAAGACAUCGAUCGCGCACUUGAUUAGAUUCAAAAUACCAUUAUACAUCUCGCAAAGAACAAGUGAAACGAGUAAAAUACUACUCAUUGAAAAAAAAUUGAAAAAUCUAAGAAUUUAACAAACUUAAAAAUCCUCUCAGCUUUAAAGUAAAACCUCUUUAAAAUCCUAAAAUCCUCUUUAAAUUCACUCGUAGGAAAUAACAUUCACGAUUUUAGGGAACAAAGAGAUUUUUAGGGCAAAAUACAAUCUAUCUUAUUACAUACCGAAAGAGAAAAGACAGAGGACGACGACGACGACACCGAAAGAGAGAAAGGGCAGAGGACCGCACAGUGGCGGCACCUAAAGAGAAAAGGCAUAGAAUUGCAUGGCAGCACCGAAAGAGAAAGGGUAGUGGACGACGACACUAUUUUCGUUUUUUGCAAAACCCUCUUUCUUCUCUCCAUUAUAGACUUGUGAAUUACAAAUGUGGGUGACUUUAGUAGCGUCGAAAGUUCUUCCAUUUCUCUCGACGCGAGUUUGACUGUGUCAGAAGAUAGAGUAUGUUUUGUCACUUCACUUAUUUCAUCAAAAGAUUUCAUAUCUCCCGACGCCCGUUUUUCUAACGAUAUAAGCCAACGUCGAAAGAUCCAAAAUUUCUUGUAGUGACUUUUAGUAUUUUUUUAUUGUGAGCUUGUGAGUUUUUCACGUUUUCAAAAUUGUUCUAUAGAGUAUAAAUAUUUUGUCGGUUUGUUAUAUUUUUGAAAAAAAAAAAAAUCACCACUUAAGAAAUUAAAUAUAAAAAACAGUUAGAAAAAAUGUAUAAUAUCUUACAAUGCUAAACAACCACGUUGUGUCGUAGUGUAUAGUUGGCUACGAAGGUUUUCAUUUUGAGUCUGAGCAAUGCCAUUUUCAUUUUAAAGCAACCACUUAACUUUGAUGAUAUUUUUCAUACUAUGAAUGAGUUACAAAUUUGAAAAUAGAGGAGACUGAAUUUUAACACAAUUUUUAAUUUACUCAUUAAUUUAACAACUAAAUUAUUAUAACUUUGAAAAUGAAACAAAGUAGAUAAAAAAUGUUAUUUAACAAAAAGAAUCAAAUAAAACCAAUUGAAGUUGGUUACAUAUCAAACAUAUAAAGAUUAAAAAGAGAAUGAACUCAUCAACUAUAUUUACUCAAAAUCUUAUAAAUUAUUAUAUAAAAUAACAAAACAGUCUGAGAUUUACAGACUACAUGGUUAAUUGAAUUCACAUAAUUAUAAUCAACAUCUACAAUCCUAAUAUUUGUCCAAGAGAAAAAAAAAAAGAAAAAGAAGAAGUAAAGGAGCAAAAGAAAAAAAGGAAAAGAUAAAGGAUUAGAUUAGAUGAAAGAAAAGUUAAACAAAAAAAAAAAAACUUCCUUUCCCUCCCACUCUCCAAAGGCCAUUUCCAACUUUUUUUUUUAAAUAUUAUUUCUCUCUUUUUUUUUUCCUUUCUUUUCAAAAGAUUUGUAAUUUUUAAUGAAAAAAUUUAAUAAAAAACUUUUGGUGGUGCUUCAUUCAUAGCUAUAACAACAACAAUGGGUAGUGGAGAAGGACAACGCAAUGUUGCAACAUUAUUAUGAUUAUUGUCGUCGACAUUUGAUCUUGUGUCGUUCCUUUGCAUUUCGAUGUCGUUUAACGAUGUCGAUGUCGUCGUUUCUUCUUCUUCUUCAACUACUGUUGCUAAUUUCUUCUUCUUAUUUUUCUCCAAUUUGUCUUCACUUAUUAAAAGCUUCACUGGUUCAACUAUGGUGGUGAUCUCUUCUAUUAUUGCUUCCUUUUCUUUGUAAUCUUUGUAUUUUCCCCAUAGCACUGAGUACAGCCCCACCACCAUUACAAUACCUCCAACAACACUGAAAAAAUAAAAAAGAACAUAAAGUUAAAAGAGUAUAAAGAUUCAAUUUAAGGUAUGUUAAGAGUAUAAAUUUUUAGGUUUGAUAUUUUUAAUUACAUUCAACGUAACAUGGCAUGAAAGUAAAACUUUCAGUGUAUGAAUGAAUCGGGUAAUUAAGAGUUUGGUAAUAAAUUCACUUUAUUUUUCUAAAAUGAAAAAAAAAAAAAACUAAAUUAUUAUUAUUACUAUUUGUUUCAGGACAAUAAAUAAUUUAUAGUAUUAGCUAUUAAUAUUAUUAACCCUAAUCAUUGCUCAUAAUUGAAUAAUUUAAUCCAUUAUUAUUAGACCGUACCUGAGAUAUUUCUUAAAUUCAAAACUAUGGAUGAUGGAGCGAAAAGAUCAUAUUUCAUGAAAAAUGAGAAUUACAUAUUAAAAUGAUUAUAAAGAUUAAAAAGGAAAAAACCUACUCUUCACUUAUCUUUUAAAUCUUUGGUUUAAUUUAGAUCCUAUUUGUACUUUUAUCUCUACUUUAUUUUUGUCCUUUGAACUUUUAAAACAUUCACUUUAGUCUAUUUUUAAUUAUUUUACUCUAAAAUAUUAAAAAUAUCCAUUUUAGUCUUGAAACAUUUAGAAAAAGUUAGUUUCAAUUCAUACUUUUUUUUUUUAAUUAUUUUCCUACAACUGUGUAAAAAAAGAAAGAAAAUACAAAAUUCAACAACUAUUUUUUUUUUUUUUUUGUGAAUUUUCCAUAACUUUAUAAACUUAAAUAAUUGAUUAACAAUUUAAGCGUUUAGGUUAAGUGAUGGUACUAACCGUCCGAUAUAGAUCUUCUCUGCAAGCAUGAAGGAGCCCAUAAUGGCAACAAUGAUCAUGAUCAUAGGGGUAAAGGCUGUGACAAAAACAGGUCCUCUCUUUUGCAUAAUCAUCCCUUGUACAUAAUAAGCUAUGCUUGAUGAAACUAUUCCCUGAACAAAGUUUAUAAUUCAAAUUAAAUUAAAUUAUUAUUUUCAAUACAUAUAUAAACAUAAAGAGAUGGAGAAUCUUACAGCAUAAACAGAAGCAAGAAGGUUCAUAUCCCAUCCAAUGUUCCAAACAGAAGCUUUGUGUUCCAUUACAAAUGUGACAGCCAUGGAUUGCAAAGUCCCAAAGAAACACACAAGGGUUGUAAGUGACAGAUGGGCUGUGUAAUUCCUUAAUGUCAUUGCCUGUGAAAUAGUAAAACCAUAUACAUGUAAUAUGAACUAUAUCAAUUCGAUCCGAUUGACUACUGUUAUAUUGCAAAGGUAAAAUUAUAAGUUGUAUAAGUCUUUACAAAUGUUUGAUUUUGCGUCUAAUAGAAUAUGUUGUAAGCUUUCAAUCUUGUAUUUAAUGGAUGACGUAUUAAAUAUUUUUUUUCAAAAAACUUAAGUGACCUAGGUAUAUAAUUGAAUAAUUUUUGUUUAAGAGAACCUUUUUCUUUUGUCUAUUAGGUCUAUGCAUUAAAAAGAAAAUAUUGCAUAAAAGACAAAUGACAUAUAUUUUAUUCACUCUCAAUUCUCUCUUCAAUUAGAUAUUCAAUUAGAUAUAAAAUGGAAAGUUUGGUUCCAUUAUUAAACAUAAAAUUGGAAGUUUAGGGAUUAAUUGAAAGUUGGGAAUCCCAUUAGACAUUUUUUUAAAAUUUCAAAACCAACUUAAAAAUUUAAUAACUAAACCACCUACAAAUCAUUUUGAUUUUAAGUUGCUAUAAUUAUUUGAAAAAACAUAUAUCUUGAUGUGACAUCAUAUAUAUUUAUGUUUAACCAAAUUCCUAUACUUCUGCGUUAUCAACACCGAGAUGAGAGGUACGAUUUCUUCACUCUACAUUAUUAAAAUACUAUUUUUAUCUCAAGCUUCAUUCUACAUUAUUAAAAGAAUACUAUUUUUAUCUCAAGAGUAAAAUACUUAAAAGUAGAACAAACAUGUUGAAGGCAGUUAAACCUAGUGUAAAAAUAUUAGUACCUGAACGAUGAAGAACAAAGCCCAAGCAAGAUUGGCAAAAAGGAGAAGAAUGGAACCCUUGAGCCAAUCUUGAUAAGUGCUUUCAAAGGAAUAGUAAUUGGAAGAAGCAGAAGAGCUGUGAAGAUAAUUAUUGUUAUGGUGAGACCAAAAGAAGCUUAUGACAUUCCCUUUGUAUAAAGUCAUCAAAAUGGCUCCACCCACUGUCACCAAUGUUCCCACCACCUUGGCUUGGCAUCUCACUUUCUUCAUCUCCAAUUUCUCCAUCCUUUCAAGUUUCCAUUUGUUUUUCAUUUAAACAAACAAAUUUAAAUAAAUAAAUUUCAAAAUAAUAAUCAUAUACUUUUAUGUUCUCUCUCUUUUUGAAGUCUUUUAUUAUUAGCAACCAGAAAGUUUUGCUUUUUUAUCUUCUGCUUUUUAAAAGGGUUUGAUAUGGUAGAUGCAUGUACAUACUUUAUUAAGAGUCGAAUUCAUAAGAGUUGAUUUAUAACGUAAAUAUACGUAUGCAAGAGCAAGUUUGAUUUCGUAUACGGAACUUCAAAGUAGAGUUCAAAAAUAAAUAGUAGAAUUUAGAGAUCGCUAAAAGUAGAUUAAAAGUGCAAAUAUAUAUAUACACGGAUGCAAAAAAUUCGAUUUCGUUAACAAAAAUUUAAAGUAGAGUUCAAAAGCAAUUUGAAAAUGAUUAUCAAGAAAUAUUCGGAAGUGGUUAUAAAAAUGGAUUAAAAGUGAAAAUAUAGAUAGGAAACCUUAAAGUUUAAAAGUAAAUUGAUAAUAAAUUUUCGACUAUGUUGGAAGUGAUUUAUAAAAGUUGAAUAAAAGUGAAAAAUAUACAUAUACAAGAAGUUCAAUUUUGCAUACAAGGCUUUAAGGUGAAACUUAAAGGACAAAUUUACAACGCAGAGCAUGUCUGAAAAGUAAAUUUGAAAGAGUUAUAAAAUAGCUCUGCCUAGGAUGAAAACUACUUAUAAACAUGCAUUUAAUUGUUUUCAUUAAAUCAAUUUAAUAUUUAAUUUGACAUUUUAAAACAUGAUUUUCAUAAAAUCGAAAUUAAAUUUAAAAGAAAAAUCUAAUCUUUUACGAGUUUUUAUCUCAAUGCAAAGCGGUAAUAUUGUAUACCUACAAAGAAGAGCUAAGAUGAAUGUCAUUGCAGGAAGCAUAUUGCUGGUGGCACAUGAAAAGGUAGUUGAAGUGAGCUUCAAUCCAGCAUAAUAAAAAUUCUGAUCAAUCACCGGUCUGAAGAAGAAAAAUAACAAUUAUUUUGUAACUAAAAAAAAUGGUUAAAAACCACUUUUUAAUUUUUUUUUUAUACAAAAAGAUCUAAAAUUUGCACAAACCCUAACAAACCCAGAAGGAAAAUCUGCAUUAACAUGGCAAAACUGAUCUUGGGUCUCACUUUCCUGAUAAGAAAGUUGAUAUUAGUAUAAAUAAAGUAGUUAAAAAAGAACUAAAAUCGUUUAUUUCAAACUCACUAAGAAAUUUAGAGAAAAAGUCAUAGAAAGAACAACCUUUCGAAGAAGAAGGCGAAGGGAGCAAGGACAAUGGUGGCAAAGGCUUGCCGAUAAGUGACAAGAACGUAAUGGCUCAUUCCGCGGUUGAGAGCUACCUUGGUGAUGAUAUUCAUCCCAGCAUAGCCAAAUUGGAGAGAGAUCAUAGCAAUGUAAGGUUGUGCUCCCUCAACAAAAUUGGCAAUUCCACUUCCCUUUCCUUCCAUUUUGUUUUAUUUAUUUUUAUUUUGGAAGAGGCCGUUUGGGAAAGAGAGAAAAAGAAAAAGAAAAAAAGGAAGGAAGAAUUGUGUAUGGAGGAGGAAGAAGAACACUUCAAGAAGCUUAAGGCUAAUUUGUUGUGUCUCUCCUAAAUUAAAAAAUGGGAACUUGGUUUCAUAUUUAUAGCCUAUUUUUGUGAUGAUCAUAUAAUUGGGGUUUUUGGCUAUGUUUUCUUUUUGUAAUUUGAAAAUGAUGAUGAUAUGAUCUGCUAUGUGGUUAUCCAUUCAACGUUUGAUGUGGGUUCCACGUGGCAGUAUCAUGGUGGUGCUUUAUUUAUUUAUUAUUAUUAUCUUGGGAUGAUUCCUACUUUUUAUUUUCUCUUUCUCUCCUUUCCCAAUAUCAAUCAUAUAUAAUUGUGUAAAAGCUUUCAUGAUAUUGUUUUAGUGCUUCGUGCUGCCAAAUGGAACCAUGAUCAAAAUUAUUUCUAUUUUCUAAAAUUGUAAUCUUCGUAUAUUUUUUUUCAAAAUUCAUGAAUAGAAACUCUUUUUUUCCCUUUCUGUAUGCUAAUUGGAAUUCUAAGUUAAACCACCAUCUUUAUUAUAUCUUGUACCGCUUCAAUUUAAAAAGGUAGAUAAAUGAAUCAGAUUCGAAUGAGAUCCGAAUGAGAGAUCAUAAGAAAAUAGUAUAAAAGAAAGAGCUUAAAAAAUCUUAGAACGCUCGAAAUCUGUUUAUCUAGUCUUAGAUAGCAAAAAAAAAUAAUUGUUGAUUAAUUUGAUUCAUAAAAUUAGACAUAUUGGUCUAUACUUAGAGAAAACCAAAACAUAUUGAUUUAAAUCCGUUCUUCAUUGAAAAUCGAAUUGAACGUAAGAAAAUAUAUACACAUGUAACCUUAAAAACAAACUCUAACAUUAGUGGUAUCAUUUAAUCUUUUAAUUUUAUGAUGCAUAUAUAUUUGAGUGUUAAUUUAGAAAAAGAUCCAUUAUUAAUGUUUGCGUCUAUCUUUCAUUAAGAAAAUCGCCAAAAGACAAGAAAAAAAAAAUUAUCCAAUUUCAAUCUAAAAAUCUAAUUCAGAAUGAAAGUAAAAAUAAAAACAAAAACUUGGAAGGAAGAUAGAAAAUGCCAAAAAUCGAGAACAAAAAAUGGAUAAUAAAUCGAGCCAAAUAAAAACAAAUCCAUUAGUUUUGUUAUUUAAUUAUUGAAUAUCAAUUAAUUUUGUUUCAUUCUUUAUAAACUGAUUGGUUUGGUGUCAAUUUGAACUGACUAUGCAAAUCACCCUGACUUGAUACUUUGAACAAAUAAGUACAGUGUCUUCCUAACUACUUAGCGUGUAAGGGUCUAAGGACAUUUACUUAGCGUGUAAGGGUCUAAGGACAUUGCACCCUAGUCGGGUUCAUGAGUAACCUCUUGAAAAUCUAAGUUAAAUUUUUAAUUGACAUGUUUAUUGUUUAAGGUUUAUAUCCUAGGACAUAGGAGAAGUGCACUAUAUAAACCCUUUAAGCCUGCUCAAAUAUUUAUACUCCCUUUAUCUGUGGCAGACCCCUAGUCACACUACAAGAAAUCGAAAGUUUUCCGACGCAAGAAAUAUCGUCAAAAAACAUGACGUCGGUAGAAGCUGGUGUUUUUCGACGCAUCUUUGUGCACGUCGGGGGAAGGUAUUUCUCCCGACGUAGGCACACGAGCGUCAAAACUGGCCAGAAUGGUUUAGGGUUCCUCUGACAUGGUGCCAGGUACGUCGGACAAUGGGUCCCUAUUCCUGACAUGCACCGUGUCACGCUGGAAGAGGGUAGACAAUUAAUUGUACCGUUUAGCCUUCCUCUAACAUGGUGACAGGUGCGUCGAGAAAUGGGUACUUAUUCUCGACAUCUAUAGUGUUGCGUCGGAGAAAUGACAGAUCAUUAAUUGUACGUUACACUUGUGAUGUCAACAACAUCGGGAAUUCGUUGAGAAUAGGUUUAGGGAUUCUCGACGUGUCACUAAUCACGUCAAGAAUAGGGUGUGUCUCCCGAUGUUUUCGAUAUACAUCUGUAAUUCACUGAAAUGAAAAAGAGAAGGUCGAGAAAAGUUGAGAGAGAGGCCGAAAAGGAGAGAGAUCCACGCCACUGUUCGUAGUCGUUCUCGUCGUCGUCCUUAUCUGAUCGUUUGUCGUUAUCUCCGUUGCCACUCUUCAUUCUAGUAAAUGGUUUAAUUUAGUUAUUAUUUUGUUUUAGUUAAUUAGGUUUAGUAUUUAGAUUUUUAAAAUGGAAGGGUUGAGACAAAAGAAUGGUAAAUAAUGAGUAGGGUAGGUUUUAACAAAAGGGUAUCUAUGUUUUCGAUUGUCCUAUACAAGUUGAAAUGGGUGUAAGGCACUUUGAUUUUGAGUGUAUGGCUACAUUACAAAAUAAGAUAUUCAUAUUUAAUAAAGAGAAUCUUUUCUAAUCACAUCGAAUCCUUCCUACUUACUGCUGUCUUAGAAAUUUUGGUUUUUAUAAAAAGGGAAAAAAAACUUGGAAUAUUAAAUUAAUAAAUAAGAAAAAGAAUUAAGAAGUCAAAAUUUAAAGUUGUGGGUCAAAUGAAAAAUAGUAAUAUUAAUAUAUAUAUACAUCAAAUUUCUAAACAUGUUUUUUGUUUUUUUGUUUAAUUAUUCAUUGCGAUAAAGUCAUUCAAAAGUUUGAGUUGGCAAAGUUUUUGGAAAUUGAAUCUAAGAUCUUCAAGCUAAUCAUGCUUAACAACUCAUUCUUCAAAAAGUAUUGGUAAUCAUAUUGAUGACAAGUUUUGUAUGAAUUCUCUCUAUACUCCAAGUCUCACCUUAUUCUUAUCAUUUAGGUAAGAGGAAAAAUACCAUCCAUCCUAGAAAUAUUGACGUUGAUAGGAUAUAUUUGAUUUAACACUAUUGAGUAUAUUGAUGUUAAAAAAUUUGGAUUGAGAAAAUGCAUCAACAAUAAACAAUCAACAAUAAAUUUGUUUGAGGACAAAAGUGUUGUGGUGAUGCAAUUUGGGUCCUAAAAAUUUCAUAAUUAAUGUUAUUUAAUAAUAUAUAAUUUAAUUAUUGGGACAAUUACCCUAAACUAAUACGAGGGAAGAAUACGACCGUUCGAUCUCUCUAUUUUAAAAAUGUAUUUUUUUUAGUUUUCAAAUAUAUAAGUAUAGACUUCAUUCCAUUUUUUAGUUUUCAAAACACAUAUGUUUGGUAUCUAAAUCUUUAAAAUAUGUUUAAAAAAAGUCUAUCAAAUAAUUUUAUAUUUUUAUUUUAAAUAAUUAUAUGAUAUUUUAAAGAAAAAAUAUUGUAAAUAACAAAAUUAUUGAAAAUAUUUAUAAAAUAUUACAAAAUUUUAGAUCUUUCAACCAUAGACGUUGAUAAACACGAAUAGAAUGUCUAUCAUUGUUGAUAGAUUUAAAAUUUUAUUAUAUUUUGUUUUAUUUAAAAAUUAUCCCAUGAAUAAUUUCUAAAAAUCAUAUUUCUUCUAAAACUAUUUGUUUUCUAGUUUUAAAUAUUAUAAGUUUCUACAUGGAUUGAUUACGUUUAAAAAACAGUUUUAAAGAGACUAGUAUAUUGAUAAAUAAAAUCUCGUUGUCUUAUCUUUUGUGACACACUAUGAGAUAACCGACCACUUUGCAAUUGUUACAAAUAAUUAAUUUAAUGCAAAUCAUUCUUGUAGAGACAUGAAAGUGGAGGUAACAUUAUUGAAUUUCUAUAGGUUUGCUUUGUGAAAUACUUAAUUUAAUCUCUAGAGGAUAGUAUUUCGUAAAGUGACUAUAUUUUUAUGAAGACUCAUUAUUUGAUUUGUAGGGACUAGAAUGAUCGUUAGUUGAUUUAAUAAAACAAUCAUUUUAAGGGCUUGACAGCGAGGGAAAACAUAAUUUUACGAAAUGAAGAAAUGGUUAGUUUUACUUAUAAAUAUUGAUUUUAAAACUUAAACUAUAGGCUUUCACUGGAGUGAAUGUCCGUUCAUGAGGUUGAAAAACUGAGGUGAAAUACAAAUUUGUGGACCUAGCAACUAGAAAGCACGUAGAAAUUAACUUUUAAUUGCCUUUAUUUUAGAUAGGAUUUUAAUUAAUUUGAUUAGAUUAGAUGUGUUUUGUUUAGUGAUUUUUAGGGUUUGAGAAACAAAACGGGUCAAAGUCGUCAAAGAAUUGUGUAUAAUUGAAACAAACCAGUACCAAACAUUGAAAGGAGAGAAGAAAAGAGAAUAAAAAAAAGGAAACAUGCCUAAAAAUAGGGCAACACUGCCCUAAUGCUAAAACACAAAAGCACUUGAUUUGAAAUUGUUGCAUCCCAUUGGCAGCCUAGUUGUUGAGGCAUUAGCAUUGUCACACCAUAGCAGGGAGGGGCAUAAGACGCAUUGCAUGAAGGUGGUGCCACGACAAUCGCUAGGCAAUAUGUUAGGAAAUCAUCAUCCACAAUCAUAUAUCAACAAUAAUCAAUAGAGUUAAUCAUAGUGCUUGAUAAUUAAUAAUUUGUCUUAAACGCCUUGGGAUUGUUCCUUUUUAGGAAUCCAAUUCCACUAUUUGAAAUUUGGAUUUGUAAUAAAUGAGGAAAAAAUACGUUUAUGAUCUUUUCCACCAACUUCAACUUGAAGACCUACCAAGAGCUUCUCUCUAGCUAUGUGCUCCACAAGCAUUUAUCUCCAAAUGAUGUUGUUCCUUGUGAUACAUAUGGAAUGUAUAUAUCAUUGGUGCAUUCCAGUACUCGACACACAAACUUGAUAUAACUCUCAUCCAAUUUCUAUAUUCACGACCUUAUGUCUAUAGAUUCACUAUCAAAGAAAAUUCUCAAACUUCGAACAUUGAUGAAAUAAAAUUUGAUGCACAUUUCGUGCUUUGUGAAAAAUAUAUAUACUUUUUUUUGUCAUCAAAUAAACAAAUGGCUAUGGCUCAAACAAGUAUUGAGUCUGAAUAACGAGUCCUUACACCUGGGUAUGCUGAAAUUACAUGGUACAACAACAAUUAUGCCAUGCACUAGUUGUACGGUGCAAUAAUUAAACACUUGAAUAUGUGCAUGCAUUCAAUAGAUAAAUCCUAUUGAAAUUGGUACUGUGCAUUCUAUUAAAUUGAAAUUGACUAACAAUUUUUAAAAGCUAUCAUUAACAAGCUCUUAAUGAUUUUUGACAUUGACACUAGGGUAGAGAAUAAUGGAUCUGUCUUUGUAUCUUGUUGUUGAGAUCACAAACGACCUUCAUAACUCCUCUACCCCUCAAAUUCCCUUAGGUGUGGUGUUCUCCUUUUGCACUAAUAUUCCCCCGAUCUUUGAUCCCCUUUCAUAUGAAAUGCACAUGUAACUUCAAAGAGCUAGAAAGUGAAAUGCAUCAACCAUGCACGUUAGGUUUGUAGUAUCGAGAACAAUAUUGUCUUAUCUUUUCCUUAUACAGGUUCGUAGCGUUGCGAUGCUAAGAAAAUUAAACAGCGAUCAGUGUCAUCACUUGACCUGCUCUUAGGUUUUAGCAUCGUGAAUCACAUUCGGCACCACCUUCUCUUGGUUCCUGGCCUCUCUUUUCUUCUUAAUUAAUUGCAUCAAUAACCCAAGAAGUUCUCAUAGCUUAAUUUUGACACCAAAUUUGUCCAAAUUGUGCAAAAACUUCACUCCAAACCAGUUUUUUUUUAAAAAAAAUAUAAGUACAUUUUCAGGUGCUUUUCAAUCAUCUCAAUGAUAGAGCAUAUUAGUUGUUAACCGUGUCUUUCAUCCUCAAAUCAAACACAUCAAGAUCAUAUAUUCCUUUUUCUUUUUCAUGAUUAGAUUUCUCAUGUGUUUUGUUUCAUGUUGGAUAUGGGCCCACAACUGAUCGAUUAGUUGUUUGUCUCACCAAGCGAUUGACUCACUAACAUUUUUUCUCUAAUCCAAACUUAGUAUAGUUGAAUUGUCCACCUGUUUGAUGGGGUAUUAGGGCGAAAUAAUUGAAGAAUACCAAUUGGACACACAUUUUUACUACCAUAAUACCGUAAUACCAUACCUCCACUUGUUCACACUAAAAACUUUCCUUCAUAAUUUUUUGUUGGCCUCACAUUAUUGUCAUUAGAGCACACAAUUUUUACCCUAUUUGUAAAAACAAGUUGACGUGACACACAAUAAUUGAAAGUAGUAUGAACAAUUGCAUGAGAAUCCAGUAGCGCAAGAAAUUUUUCCCACGUAGUCAGCAGUCUAAAGAAAACCAACUCAUAAAAUUAUGUUUCAUCAAGCAUGAUUUUAAUAUAGGCUCAAUUUAUGACAAUUAGUUGUUAACAAAUAAUUGAUUGUUUUAAUUGUGAGAGACCAUGUGUAUAUCUAUGAGUUUUUUUAAUCAUUUCCUUCCAUUUGAUGUAAAAAUUUGGGUAAUUGCUUAUGAAAUAAGAAAAAACCUUAGCGAGAAUUUCUCUCCACUUUACUCCAUUCUUCGAACCUUUUUAUGAAUAAUCUUAUCUAGAAAAAAGGAAAAAUAUAAGUUCAUAAAUAAAUUUAAAAAAAACAUAAACAAUAUCGUGAAACAUAGAACCGAUUUGAAUUGACAUUUUAAAUGUUUCUAAACAUGUGUUUCACUCGUAAACAUUUAUUUAAAUACUCGAUCAAUCCAAAUACAAUCGUAAUAUUUUCUAAAAAGUUAUUUGAAACAACUUGUAUGAAAAAGACAAUAUAGCAUGAGAAAAUAAACUAGUGUAUCCACUUGGCAUCAAUGCCUAACAAAGGCAAUCAAAAGGCCUAAUAUGUAGGCCAAUUUACACAACUUCCUAGAGCCUAUAGAAAUGGUAUAUCACACAUUUUGAUCCACUCAGCACUUACCUAGGUGUUAUAAAGAAUACCAAACAAAAUUAAUGGCUAGGCACCCACUUAGGAACUAUCAUCGGUCUUGUAUAUAGGGCUUGCUUUUUCUAAAAGGAACAAAUGAGGGAUAGCCACAAACAAGAAUUGCAAAAAGAGGAAAUUUAUCUAGGGCUACGAAUCUUGAUUGUUUUAUUGCAUACAAUUUAAUGUUUCUUGUGCAUCGUUUGUUUAUCCAGUAUUUUUUUGUUAUUUUGUUUCUUAAUUUCAUUUUAUGUUGCAUCUUUUAAUUAUGAGGUAUUGCAAAAGGUAACUCUCUCCUACUUUCCUUAGUUAUUUUUGUUGUUUGUGUUGAAUUUCUAGUUGUGAAAUUUUUACAAUAAGUUUUAACUUUGAAAGUUUGAUUAGCUAAUAUAUAUCCUUUUUGUUACCUUCUUCUUCAAUUUGUAUUUAUAAUUACCUUCUUCUUCAAUUUGUAUUUAUAAUCUUUCGUGAUUUCUUGUUGUAGGAGGGGACGAGAGUAGAGGUCCAAGUAAAAGGUAAAUUUUGUUGGAUAUUAUUACAAAAUGUAAAGUAAAGAUCACUGAUACAAAUUUGUGUUACUUGACACAUGUAAUUUGUACUUACUUGACGUUUUUUUUAAUAAAAUUGUCAAGUAAUGAUCAUUUUAAGAAAAAAAGCGUUAAGUAACUUGUUAAAAAAGCGAAUAAUUUUUAUGAACAUUUUUUAACUUUUCCAUACUGAUCUUUACUUGAAGUUUUUUAAAUGCCAAGUGUAGUUAAUAUUUUCUCACAACACGCGAAACAAAUGUCAAGAGUAACGUUGAAUUUUAAUUGAUAUUUUUUAAACAUCAUGAAAACCGUAGCAUUAUUUCCUCCCAAUUUCACCCCUAAAUUUCAUUUUUCCACCUACUUUACUAAUAAUAAUAAUUUAAAAAAUAAAACUUUUCCUUUUCCUUUCCCUUUCUCAUUCCCCUCGGCAAACUCCCCCCUCCAAACUGCUCCAAGCCCAUCAUCCGCCGCUCACUGAUUUGGAUGUCGAAAUGUUGUAGGAACCUCGUCAAAACUGCAACUCUUUGAAAUACCGUCAAAAUUGCCACUCUUUUUUUUACCAUGUUUGUAACGACUAAACUUUUUAGAACUAAGCUGAGGUUAUUACUUAAAGAAAAUAACAUUUUUAAAACUUAAAACAAUACAAAGUUCACUGUUUUUAUUAAAUAAAUUAAAAAAUAAAAAAUCUAAAACAAAUGUUUGGCAAACCAAAUAAAAUAAAAUCUACUAAAGAAACCUAGUUCGAGCCUUAUCUAACUUUAAAACCAAGAAAACUUCUAUCAGUCAUGACAUAAAAGAUCAUCAUUGUGAGACCCGUUUCUAGAAUAGAAGGGGUCAUUUUGAAAACAAGAGUGAGUAAAUGAUUUUGAAAAAGGCAUUUUGAGAAGAAAGUAUGUAAGGAUUUAGGCAUUCUGAUUGAUCGCGUUGAAGUUAGGCGACGUGAGGAAGGAGGAAGGUGUUUUGAUGUAAGGCGAGAGAGGCCAGACAAUGAGAGUUAAGAAAUGUGAUGUCCUGAUCCGAAAAGGGAGUCCUAUUGAAGAGGAGCCUCAUUGGAUGAGAUUAUUUGAGUAAGUAUAAAUGAGACAUUUUGUGAAGAAGGGAUGCGAUGGGGGAAAAUGUGAUACAAAGAAAAAUAUUUGAGCCUAAGUGUUAUCAUGUUGGAGUAAGUGACACAAUGAGAAUAAUUGGCAAAGAAGAAGUAAGCGCUUAAUGCUAAAAAUUUUUUAAGCGAUGGGAUGGUAAGGCAGGGAGAAGUACCUACACCUAAAUAUGUUGUAAUGAAGUAGGUGUUCUGUUGACAAGACUAGACGGCCCUCUAAGGAAAAGUAAAUGUCUGUCAUUUUCUGAGAAGGGAGCUAGGGUGGUUGAGCACUCCAAAGAGGUAAGGUUGGAAUCUAAAGAAAAAUGUCUAAUUGCAAGAUGAUGGCUGGUUUAAGUGUCGAGUUGAAGUUGACUGCAUAGUGCGACAAAGCAAUAAAGUGACACAUGUAAAGCGUGAAAAUGACCUAUAGAUGUGAAAAGUCACUAUAAAUAGGACCAAAGGCUAGAAGAAUGGGCAUGAGAUGUUAGACACACUCUGGUAAGUUGUUAAGAGAAAGUUUUGAGUGUGUUGCAAAGGUCGAUUGAAGGAACCACUAGUCGGGAAGAGAAAGCCGAAAGGAAAAAGGGAGAAAGAGUUGAGGCUAAGUAUAUUACAAAUGAUUGUAUGAAAAACAUUCUUUUGUAACCAUGUGUUGUUGCUUAUUGUAUGAUAUUUGUUAUUGUUGUGAGAUCAUGCGUUGAAAGUAAGCUAUUGAGCUAACGUUUCUCAUUUUCACAAUAUACCUGGGAUUCACUUAACCAACAUUUACUCGUCUAGACUUGAGAUUCACUUCACCAACGCCUCGUGUUAAAUCUGGGAUUUCCACCAGCGUCACGCAACACUCUCUUUUUAGACCUGGGAUUCACACACCACACAUCACACAAUCAUUACCACUAACAAAUAAAAACGUUAGUUCAAUAGCUUACUUUCAACGCAUGAUCUCACAACAAUAACAACAUCAUACAAUAAGCAACAACAUAAGGUUAUGAAAGAAUGCUCUUCACACAACAAUUUGUAAAAUACUUCUUUCAUUUACAAGAAUCUUAAAUGCAAAGUUUCUAUUCAAAAUAAUUAUUCAUUCAUACUGAAUCACCUAUUUUACUUAAUAAAACACUUACAAACGUUCAAUCAUUUAAAAGACCACUAACAGAAAUACUUAGUCUAAACUCUUUCUCCCUUUUGCUUCCAACUUUCUCUUUUCACCUAGUGGUUCCUUCAACUGACCUUUUCCAUACUAAAAACCUUUUCUUAUCAAUUUAUCUGAGUGUCUAGUGCCUCAUGCUCUUUUCUUCCAGUCUUUGGGUCCUAUUUAUAGUGACCUUUCACAUCAAUUGGUCAUUUCCAUGCUUUACAUAUGUUCUUUCACAGCUUUGCCGCACUAUGCAGCUAACCCUAGCUCGACACGUAAGUCAUUCAUCACUCUGCGACUAGAAAUUUUUCUUGAGACAUCAACCUUAUCUCUUUGGAAUGUUGAGCUCGUCUAACACUCUUCUCGAGAAACGAAAGACAUUUACUUUUCCUUAAAGGGUCAUUUAGUCUUGUCACUUUAUAUUUUGAUAACAGUGAGUCAUAACAUUACUGAUCCAUUUACCAAGACUCUCACGGUUAAAGUGUUCGAGGGUUAUCUAAAAAGUUUAGGUAUUCGAGAUAUGUACAUUAGGCAAUCUAGGGCAAGUGGAAGAUGUGUAAUGAGUAUGAGGAUGCCUUGGUUUAUUACUUUUGUAUAUAUACGUUUUAUGUAAUAUACUUGUACAUUUUACCAUUUUCAAUAAUAAAUGAUUAUUUUAUUAUGUACAUCCAAUAGAUACUAGAGUUUUAGUCCAAGUGGGAGUUUAUUGGAAUUUAUGUCCUAAAACUCGUAAAUUCUAAAUAUAAUUCAUUGAACGUUAUUAAUAAAAUGUUAUUAUUAUAAUUUCAAUAAAUGUUAUUUCUUAUAUUAUUAGUUUUGUCUUAAUAACUCAAAUCCAAUAAACUAACCUCCUAAGCUGUUUGAUGAGUCUUGAAUAGUAUGUAGAGACAUAUAGGGUUCAAUGUUCGAGAUCAACUUAAAAGAAUUAUAGUGUAGGAAGAAGGAUAGGUACCUUAUUUUGGUAACACUAUAGAUACAAUUCACUUUGUAUUUUAUACAAUGCAAUGAUCCAACAUGUUUGUAUAGGUGAAAUACUAGUGAGGGUAUCUUAUGUAAUCAGUUUGCAUAAGAUCGGACCACAAAAUAGUAACCACUAGAUGUAACUCCGUUAAUUAGUUAGGUUUCUAUUUCAUAUAAACUUUUGUUCGCGAAAGAUUUUUCUUUGAUUUCUAUGGGUGAGAGUGACCAAAUUUCCAAUGCAAUAUGCUUAUCAUUUUGGAGAUAAGAUUGAGGGGGAGCUAUUACACAAGAUGAAAUUCACUUCUUCCCGACUUUAGGGUAAGUAGAUGAGUGUUCCCUUAAAUAGUGUCUCUAGGACUUGAACAAAGAGGCCUACCCUCUCUAUGGCACGAGAUGGGUUUAUGUUUAUUGGUUGGACCAUUGUUCAUUAGAGAAGCACUGGUAUUUAAGGACUAAAAGUAACAUAGGGGUAAAAUGGUAAUUUCACCAUUUUGGUGUUACGAACACUCGUGAAGGACUAACUUAGUGUUCUUGGUCUACAUCCGUAAACACAAAAAUAUAUUUGCAAUGAGAAGAGUUCAGUUGUGAGUCUUUAGUGGAGUGUAACAUAGUCUCGUAUCGUUGUAGUUUCUGAUUUGAAGGUCCAUUAAGUCCCCUUCCUUGCUCGUAAAGGGUAAUAGAUUUAUUUAUAUUGAUUGUAAUUUGAAAUGUUCAAAUUUAAUUUGCGAAUUAGUAUAAUGUAUGGUGACACAUUCUAAUAUAAAGUUUAUAUUUUAUUCAAACUUUAUUAUAUAAAUUUAAUUUUAGAAAUGAUUCAAAGUUAAUUUAUGAGAGACAAAAUUUUUUAAUGAGUUCAAAUAUUAAUUUAAUGUGAGUUGGAUUCAUGUUAAAAUUAUUGGUUACGAGAGAAAUUUAUAUUUAAAUAUGAUUCAAAUUUAAAUUAAGUUAAAUAUAAGAUAUUUAAUUUAGUCAUUAAUUAAUUGGAAAAAUUAAUCAAUAGUUUAGUUUUAUUUUAAUUAAUUAAAUUAAUUUAAAACUAUAACUCUCUCUUAGCUUGUCGCGUACUACUUACACUUAACACAUGUCAACCUACGUAUAAUUCAUCCAGCCAUGCAAACAACUUAAGCUUAACACGUAGCCAGCUAUCAACACAAGAUUAGACUUUUUCCUUGAAAUUCUAACCUUAUCUUCACUGAGUCUCUCUCAUCUUAUUACUCUAAAACACCUAACCUUUCUGCCAUCAAAAUGCCCUGCUUCUUUUGCCUUCAGUCUAAGCCAAACACACCCUCAAGAUUGCUUGAAAAUAGUUUACAUUUCUCUCUUUUCUUCAAAUCUCGAUCAAACACGGCCAGAAGAAUGCUCGAGUUUCCAAAUUCUUAAGCAUUCGGUUUAUCUCAGCCAAACAAGCACUGAGAUUGCCUUAGGAUUACACUUCUGUUUUCAUUUUUCCAGGAAUGCUAGAUGAUUGCCCGAGAUCCUUACACAAAAAUCAUUCUUUCUUUCCUCUCGAUCAAGUAAGACUGAGUUUUGCCCCUUCUUUUGUGUCACGAGUCUCACACUUUGUAAAUUAGUAUACUGAAAUAGUUAAACAUCAAAUCAUGUUUUAAACAUUUGAUUGUAUAAAUCAAAGUUAAAAAUUAACUUUAAACAUGCAUGUUUUGCCACUCACAAAUGGUAGCUUAGAUCCUUGACUUGUAAACUUACCAAAUCUUCUCUUGGCCUGAAAUAAAUGGAAAUAAAUCCAUUUAAUUUCAUUUGAUCAAGAAAAACACCAAAAUUUUACUUAAAAUUUCCAAAAAAUCACUAAAACCAAGAUCACCCAACUGAAGCUUAGCGCCAAACUACCCUCUUACUUUGGCUUCAACUCUUGCAUACAACUCAAAUUCUCUCUAGCUUGCCCUUGGAGUAAAAAUGAUGAGAAAUGAGUGAAAUGAAUAGAUAGUGACAAAAGUUGUUGUUGUAGUAUUGUAUCACUUAUAGUACUAACUGAAAAAUAGAUACUUUAAACUUUGUAUUGCAAAUCAUAAAACUGUUAUUAUGAUUUUUAUAUCAAAGAAAUAAAUUCUCUGAACUCAGAUCAAGGACCUCCAAGAUGUAAAUGCUAUUUCAUCGAACUAGGUUAACAAUAUCUUGUAUGUUGUAUCCUCUAUUGUUAACUGAAUGAUCUUCUCAAACACUAUUGUUGACUUCUUCUUUGUUUUAUUAAUGCCAAUUUUUUCUUUAGCCAAUUCUUUCUUCAGGAGAUUCCAACUCCAAAUUUGUCAUAUUGGCUGGGCCAAAUAUAUUAUCAAUUUGAUAUGCAAAGUCUUCUUCUACAUUUUUCUCUUUUUCUUUGUGCACAUUUUCUUUUAUGAUCAUCAUUUCAUGUUGUUCUUUUGAGAUUUGGAUGAUAAUAACGACCAACCACAAAAAAUAAUUAUUUCUUAUUUUAUUGUAGUUAUAACCUUGAUUACAAUCGUCAAACUCACGACAUUUACUUUAGGGAAUGAGAUUGUUCCAUUUGGUCAAGAUUCAUUAUUUUCAUCCACCACCAUUAAAAAUUUAAAACAUUUACUUAAGAAAAAUUUUGGUUAUAUAUUUAGUUGACUGAUGUUUAUGAUUAUUUAAUCAAUAACUCGUUGUCUCAUUCAACCACGAGAAGACAUUAAGAUAAGUACAUAAUAUUCUUCAAAAUAUUUCUCUCGAUAUUGCUAAUGUAUGGGCAUAUUCGAAAUGUAAAAUAAUUGCUUUCUGAUAAUCAUAUUCUUAAUGAAAUUUAAGUGUAUCAAACAUUUACGAUAAAGAACUAUUGCUACAAAUAAUAUAAAUUUAAUAUAUAUCAAACAUGCAAAAUAAUAUAUAUUUAAUUAAUUAAAAUGAGUAUGGAAAAAUUGACAUACCGUUUGAACCUAUGUUCUGCGAAGGAGACGGUUGGAGCUCGUAUUGAUAAUAUGUUUUAAAAACGAGGUACAACUGGAGCACAAAAAGCGAUAAAAGAUAAUAUUAAAAUAACUAGAAUAUAAUACAUAAAUAAAAUAAUAAAAAAGGUUAAUUUUCAUAAAUAUAGCAAACCGACAAAAUAUUUAUGGUCCAUGUAACAAAAUGAAAAAGCCAACGAAGUUGAACAUUUUUUUAAAAAUAUUCCAGGUUUGCCUUCAUUUUCAUCGUUUUUCUUCUCUUUCUCUUCUGUGAUUUUUUUCUUCUUUUCAUUGUCUUUUUCUAUUUUCUUCUGCAAUUUUUUUAAAAUAUUUAUGCUUGCCCUUUCACUUCCAUCUUUUUUGUUCUACAAUUUUUUCCCCUUCCAUAGUCUUUUUCUCUUCUUCUGCAAUUAUUCUUUUAUUUUUUUCAAACUAUUAUUUGGUUUAAGAUUGUGUACCAAAUAUAAAAGAUCUGUUUUUUUUUUUCCAAACUGUUAUUUGGUUGUUUAAGAUUUUGUGCUAAAUAUAAACGCUCGUAGAAAAAAAUAUCGUUGAGAUAUUGGAUAGCAAAUUCUAAACGAUCAUGUAACAAAAAAGUGUUGAGAUAUUGGAUAGCCAAAUUUUAAAAUUUGCUUAUAUUUUACUAUCCAAAUUUAAAUGAUUAAAUCUAAACGAUCAUGUACUAAAAAAUAGUCAAAUCUAAAAGAUCGUUUACCAAAGAUUUGGUUCACCAAAUCUAAACGAUUGUUUAUGAAAGAAUAGUAAAAUAUAAACGAUUGUUUUCCAAAUAUAUUACAUGUUGGAUGUCAAUUAAUCACGAUACAUUUUUGGUAUUUCUCAUGUGAGCAUGUAAGCUAUUUUGGUUUUCGAAAUUGUUCUAUACAGUGUAAAUGUCUUACCGCUUUGUUAUAUUUUUUAAAAGACCUUAAUAAAGAAAGUAAUAAUAUAUAAACGAAAUAAAGAAAUAAUAAAGAAACAAAGAAAAUUAAAUAUUUAGAAAAUUCUAAAAGAAAUACACUACCUCCCUUCUAUUUGGAAAAUCCUCUCGUAUAAGUAUGGAAAUGUAAUCCACCAAAGUGCCACUAUUCAUAGGUAAUUUGAUAAGCAUGAGGUGAGUUGCAUGUUCAUUAAAGAAUGAUAUCUUUAAAACACAUGUCAAAGGUAUUGGAUAAACAAGGAAAUGCAUGUGACUAUAAACACUAAGCAUAUUAAUGGACAUCUAUAUACCGAAAAUGUCAUAAGCUGUUCAAUGGACGACUAUAUACCAAAUUAGUCUUUGAAAACAAAGAUACACUUGUAUUUUUUUGUGUUGUUAUGUCUGUUUAGUUGUCUUUAACCUAUUGACUAUAUGUACCAUUUUAGUCUUUCACAAAAGACUGAUUCAAUAAAGAUAAAAAAUGUACACUAUUUCAAAAAGUAGUUUGAAGACCAUCUAUUUUAUGUACAUAAUUUCUUAAACACAUCUCUAUUUGUAUGCUUAAUUCGUUAUUUUAAAGUGAACGUAGAUCUCUAUCGUGACCUAUUUAGACCUAUUUUAACUAGAAAGUAAAAUUUUGUUACAAUUGUAAAUAAAUUAGCUCAUUUUAACAUAUUUGAAAACAUCUCUUAAUUUUUUUUCUCUACAUUUUAACCCUAACAAACUAUUUUACAUUCUAUUAUCACAUGAAUUAUUUUUCAAAAACAAAAAGGAAUUUUUGAAAUCUAUUAGACCUAAAUAUUUGAAAAGUAGAAAAAAAGUAAAUUAAGAGUAAUAAAAGAUAUGAAUAUAUAUAAAAGUUUGCGUAAGAGAGAAAUAAAAAUUGGUUCAACUUUAUAGAGAUGUUUGAGUAUGGUAUCUUUCAUAUUGCCUCAUCCUUAUCCCUUGACUACACACCUAAUACUUCAAACCUUCAAAUAUUAAUAUUGCUUUUCAUUCAUCAAAUUUUAAUAUCUAUAUUUUCAAUUUUUUUUUUUUUUUUGUUCCUUUUGUUCUUUCAAAAUAUCAAUUUUUGAUUAAUUUCAAUGUAUAGUCUUAAAUAAAGAGAAGUUUAGAGUGAAUAUAAAAACAAAGAAAAGUAGAAAAAGCAAAAGGAAUUAUAUUAGAGCUAAAUAAAUAUAUAUGUAUAAUUGAUUGCAAAUAAUGGAUCAUGAGUUAAAAAGAAACUUUUAUGUAAUUAAACAUUUAUGAAUGGAUGAUGAGUAGAGCAAAACUUUAUGAAUCCCAUCAUAUGAUACACUCAACCUUCUUCUUCACUUUAAUCUCAAUCAUCAAAAAAUGUAUUGGAAAAGAAAAACAAAGCAUCGUCCUUCCUUUUUAUCAUUAAUAUUUUUUUAAAAAAAAAAAUCUUUUGACCACACAUUAAUAUCUUAAACAAAAUCUAUUCAUAAAUUGGUAAAAAAGAUGGAAUUCACUUUAUUACCCUAAUUAAGUGCAAUGGUAUCUCUAUCUUUCAUUCUCUUUUUUGAAUUUUUAGAUAAUACAAAUAACCUAACUUACUUUAUCCACUCAAAUAUAAUAAUAAUAAAAUCCGAUGAUUUCGCUUUUUUUUCUUUUUUUCUAUACAUUAUAUUUGAUACACGAUCGCUUAAAAUUGGGUAGUCAAAUCCUAAUAAUUUUUUUAAUAAAAGAUUUUUUUAGUACACAAUCCUUAAUUUUUUAAUAAAAGAUUUUUUUAGUACACGAUCGUUUACAUUUGAUACCUAAAUCUAAAUAAUUUUUUAAAGAUUGUUUGGUAUACAAUUGUGACUAUUUUUUUUAUACGCUCCAAAUCCAAACGAUAUUGUUUUUCAACAUCUUUUAUAUUUGGUAGAGGAUCUUGAACAACUAAAGAUUUGAAAAAAAUAAAUAUAUAUAUUUUUUAUUUAGCACACAAUCUUCAACCAAAUAACAAUUUGAAAAAAAAUGGAAAAUAUGAAAUAUUGUUAAAUAAUGGUAAUAGGAUUUUUAUUUUGUUAUUCAUAUCGUAAAUAUUUUAACUGUUUGUUAUAUUUACGAAAAAUAGUUAUGUAUUAGUUUCAUUCAAUUGAUACAGUAACAUGAUUAUUUUUGAUGUGGUAGUUCAAGUUUUGAAAAUUAUCAAGGUUUGUUGUGUCAAAGUAUUCUAAAAACAGCAGGUUUAUGUCCAAUCCUUUAGAAUAAUGAUUUAUUCUUAUGAAUUUUUUGUGUCCAGAAAAGUAAUAAUUUUUCUUGAGUUUGAAGUGAGAAAUUGAAUUUUAAUCGCAACAUAUAUUGUACAAAAAAAAAAUGUUUAUUAUUAUUAAUUAAAUUUAUGACAACAUUUAUAUAUUACAAUUACAUUUCUUUGAAAAAUAUAUUUUGGUUGAACAAGCAGCUUCUUAUUUGAUUUACGGUAAUUUCUAAUCAUUUUAAAAUUAAAUCCACGUGUCUUUUAGUGUUCUAUAUUAUCUCGUCACACCUCACUUGUAUUUUCAUCCAAGUGUUCGUAAAUCAUAAUUUUAUUUUAGUAAUCACGUUUGGUUUAUAAAUAGCAUUGGAAUGCUUAAAUUAAAAAUAAAAGGGAAAAGAAAGUUUCUUCGUUAUCUUCACUAAGAUAACCUUCGCCCGUCGCCUUACCAAUUUUGGUUAAGAUUGGUAAGUUAUGUCAGUGUUUUGGGUUGGAUUUUAAUAUCCAUUAAAGGUUAAUUGAGACUCCAAAUUAAAUUUAUUAUUAAAAUUGAUUUUGGUUGCAUGUCUUUAGAAAGUCCUUUUGGUAAAACUCGAAGAUUUAAGUGUUGAAUUUUUCCCAUCAAGGUUGAAUUGGUUUCAACCUCAAUUUUUGGAUCAAAUGAAUUGGAGAAUUUUUACUAUCAACUAGAGAGCAUUUUGUUUGGCUAAUCUUAGGUUGAUUCUACCAUAGGACCUUCGAAUUAAAUUUUAAAAGCUACAUGUAGUUUAUGAUUAUCACUAUUAUUACUAUUACUACUACUAUUAAUAUUAGUAUUAUUAUUAUUACUAUUAUUAUUAUCAUUGUGAUUAUCAAGAUGAUGAUUAUUCUGAUCAUUGUUAUUAUUAUUAAAAAUUUCCUUUCCUCGUCUUCUCUUUUCAUCUCCCCUAUCUCCCCAAACCCUCUCCAUAUUGGGCAUAGGCUAUUAAAAGUGAGCUACAAAACAAAAAUUACUUGAAAUUAAAAAUAAAGAACAAAAUAUUAUACCCAAAAACAUACUCUCUCGGGCGAAGCCACCAUUUUGGAAACUCAUUCAUUCAAAACCCUCACCCCAUUCGAAACCCCCCACACACACCCAAACCCUCUGCCGCCGGCCGUCCACAACUUCGACCGUUUGCUUCCAUUGUCGUCGACGACGUCUGCCCACCCCAAAGGAACCCCGCGCGCGAAGUCAAUCUUUUGGAAACCCCGGCCCAUCCGUUGUAAACGUUCACCUCCAUUCAAAAAAACCCAUUCGAAACCCCCCACACACCGAAACCCUCUGCCGCUGGCCGUUCACAACACCGACUGUUUGCUUCCAUUGUUGUCGACAACGACUGCCCACCCCAAAGGACCCCCCGCGCGCGAAGUCAAUCUUCUAGAAACCUCGGCCCAUCCGUUAGCAACAGGAAGGGUCCGUGAUAUGUCAUAUGGGGAAUUAGUUUCGCUUCCGCGUCUAUGUAUUAGUUUUCCAGUAUUUUGGUUUUAGAAACCUUAUUUAAAGUCGUGUCUCAAUUUUUUAUCUUUUUGUCUUCAAAGAAUUUUUAGAACCUGUGGGUCACGUUUUCAAAUUAUUUUUAUUAGUUUUGUCGAUUUUAUGUCUUCGACCAUUUAUUUGAUAAUUAAUUUUAUAAAAAUUUUAGUUUUCCUAUUUUUCAAGAAAGUGUAAAUGUUAAUUGUCUUUGAGUAAUGAUCUCAGCUUAGUUUGAAAGUUUGGAUCGUUACAAUAGAAGUAACCAAAAACCAUUAUAAGAUAUCAGUUGUUUGAGCUCUAAGUAAAACAAUAAAAACAUAUGUUCUCAAUAAAACCAUCGCAGACAUGCCAUAGAAAACAUAAGGAAAUGAUGAAAGAUAGCGGAAGCAAUAUCGACGGUCGCUAUAUGGUCAGUCACUGGUCCUUCUUCUUGUUUCUUGCUAGCUUGCUUUUCCUCUUUCUUUUCCUAAAAAGUUAAACAUAGAAAAAGUGACUAUAUAAAAUUUACCCGAAAAGGAACCCACCAUUGGGCCCACUAGGUGAAAGUUAACUUCAUAUUAGGUGUAUACCCCAUGUCAUAACAAACUUGUGAACCAGCAGAAACACAAAUGAAUCUGAUAAAGGUGAACCCACAGGAACACAUAGUAAUGACAUAUAGUGAGCCCACAGAAAAAUAUAAUAAUCACAUAGAGUGAGCCUGUAGGUGUUGAGGUUGAUGCUCUAAAUCUCGUGGUCUUGUAGUCGAUAAACUUUCUUAUGAUGAUGGGUGGAAAAUAUGCAGAAAGUCAUAUAGUUCAUAGUUUAUAGUUUCAAAAAAAGCAGUAAGAUAUUAAAUGAGAUAUUUGGAAACUAUUUUCUUGCUAAAAAUCUUUUGGUAAUAAACCACUCACAGUUACAGUGGACCCGUUUAGCUUGUCCGACCGAGAUCCCCUUGCUUGUUUUGGAAUCCUAAUCAGAAUGAGAUCGUUCCCGUCUUGGAUCCUUAACACCUUUCAGUUUUCUUCUUGGAAAAAUAGGGUAAGAGUAAUCUCAGAUGACUUGUACUCCCAAUUUAUAGAUCUUUUCAAACAAUUCUUUCUAUACUGAAAUGAUUUCCCUAAUCGGCAGCAGAGUGUGGCCCAAUUUUGAAAUACCACAUGCAUCUGUCAGACCUUAUUCUGAACUUAGGUUAGGCGAUCGGGUCCCAUCAAUUGUCAACUUAGUGACAUUUACAUCACACCAUCGUCCCUAGGUGAAGUAGGCUAACUUGCCCAUCUGAUCACCACGUCUCCUAUUCGCGUAAGAGUUCUUAUCUCAAGACCAUUAUCACGUUGUCUAUAUACGAUCAGGGCCUUACAGCUGAGCAUCUCCCAUUACGACAAAGAUGAUGGGAGUAGUAGGCAUGCCCUAUUACAUCGUAGAGUUAAGGUUAGAAAGGAAGACAUUGAGGGUAUUGGGCAUGCCCUACCAUAACGCAGUAAAGUCAAACUAGUUGCUUCUAAGCCCUGAGUUGUUUUGUUAUAAAUAUUUGCUAGAAAAGUACUUUAUAUGAAUGUAUUAUGUGGUGUAUACUUAUUUUAGUAAAUAUGUUUUGUCUUAAGAGCUAUCACUCACGAGGCUCUAGAGUUCAUCAUUUCAAUGUUUAUUUCUCUUACAUGUAAAGAUCAUGGUUUCGGCGCCUAUUAAAGUUCUGCCUACUCUGCUAAAAUUUUUAUUAGAUUUUGUACGACACAUUCCAUACAUGCAUGAUAGUUUGUAAUAAGCUCAGAGAGGACUUAGUCCCUACUAUGUAAUAGACUAGUAUAAUAGUUUGAUUUGAGUUUUGUAAUAAUGUAGUUUGGUUGGAAAUAUGAACUUCGUUUUGUCUAGAUUGUUGUGCAGGUUGUCCAUUGGUUAGGUAAACUUGAGAAUAUUUUGCAAAAAAAUUAAAUUAUUGUUUUCAAGCUAUACUUUUCUUUCCAUAUUUUAUGUCUAUGUUUAAUUGAAAAGAUAUAGAUAAGACUUACAGGUUAGGGAAGGUUGAUAGGAAAAAUUAGAAAUAUUUAUGAGAGGAUCCUGGUCUAUAAAGAUUUUCUGAACCACUCACUUAUAAAUUAUUUUGACUUAGCUAUAAAGCUAGCCCCUGUCAAUAAAUUUUAUGGAUCCACAACUGUAUGGCACCUAUGAGUUUGUUGUCAUGUCCUUCGGUUUAAUCAAUUCUCCAGCAACAUUUUGUACCCUAGUGAACAAGUUGUUCCUUCCAUUUUAGAUCAGUUCAUGGUAGUGUACUUGUUGGAAUUUAUGUCUUAAAAUUUAUAGUUUGUAGUUUAAAAUUAUAUUCUAUUCAAUAAAGUGGCUAUUCAGGGCUUACUAGUGAAAAUUGAAAACUACAAUCUUGAAUCUAUUAAACUAAGGUUCUGAGGCUAUUUAGUGUAGACUUGAACUUUUUGUAGAGAAAUAAACAUGGAUCAAGUUCAAGUGUAUAACCUAAAUGGUCUAUAUAGUGUAUGAAUAAGGUUGGACGUUUUAUUCUAGGGACACUAUGGAUGUGGUUUGCUUUGUAGUUUGUAGAAAUGAUGUGAUCCUCAAUCGUUCAUGUGGAGACAUGGAAGUAGAGGCGUCCCAUGUAAAGAGUUUACAUAAGACUAGAACAACGAAAUAAUCACUUUUACGUUUUAACAUCGUUGAUUAUACAAAACUAACUAUUUUGAUUAUUUAUGACCUAGGUAAUUUAAUCUUAAUCUUGAACUAACUAUAAACUUUUGUUCGCACAGAAUUAUCCUUAGAUCUGCAUAGAUAAGAGCAGCUCAACAGCGCUAGCUCAAUAAGCCUCUCAUUUCAGAGAUAAGACCCGGUGGGUAGCUAGGGACAUAGGGUCCAAGACAAAGUUCACUCAUACCCACUUUAGGGUUACUAGAUAGGUUGUUCCCUUAAGGACUGAAUCCUUUCAUUGGCUCGAGUGAGAUUCGAUUUACAAGUUGAACCUUAAACCAAUUAUUUAAUAGUGGAUUAGUGGGACUUAAGGAGCAAGAUGUAGUCUCAAGGGUAAAACGAUAUUUUUAUCUAGCCAAGGUUACAAAUAACCUAUGAAGAAUUAGCGUACUAAUCACGGUUAUAUAAGAUGAACACAAAUAUAUCUAUUGUGAGGAGAGUGCAACUACGGGACUUUAGUGGAAUGACCCGUUAGUUAAUGACUGUUGAUUAGUUCAGUUUAUAAGAGUUUAACCAGUUAACCUAAGAUCGUUGAAGUCCAUGAAGUAGAGGUCUAUUAGGUUCUUUUGUUAGCUCGUAUGGAUUAAACUUAGAAUAGUAUGAUAAAAUAAUUCGAGUUGUUAGAAUUUGGUAGGUAAAGAGAGAAACUGACAAAUAUAUGUGAUACAGUCGUUGAUUAUCAGUUUGAGAUAGAGCUUUAUGUUUUCAUACAAUUUAAAUAUAAAAAAUAUAAAUGGAGAUAUAUAUUCGGAAGCUAAAAUAUGAUGAACGUAGUCAUACUUGAAAAAAAAGUCAAAAUGUUGACUUUUAACUUGUUUAAUUUUCAAAUGUGAUUUGAAUUUUGAAAAAACUGAAUGCGGAUUCAUGCUUGGGAGGUCAAAAUUAGUUAAGUGAGAUCAAAUGUUAAAAAGUCAACAUGUUGACUUUAGACUUAAAAAAGUGACCAAUCAAAUGACCAUAUUACGCUUGGACUAAAAUUAGUAAGAAAAUUCAACAUUUUGUUGGAUAAUCCCACUUACACUUAAUGGGAUAAGUGGCUACAUAGGAUGUAAAUAUGUGGAAAUGUUCGGUGUUGAGAUUUGUGAUAACGUGUAGAAAUACACGUUACUAUAGCUUCUUAUAUAGAAUAUUGAAGCCAAAACGCAUAAGUAGAAUGUCAAAACGGGUAGUUUGAACGGAGAAAAGUUCAUCUUCCAUUUCCCCUAACUUGUAAUACUUUUCCAUUUUAUUUCUUUUCCAUUUUUUUAUUCUUUGUAAUGCAUACUAUUCAUAUUGUACAACAAUCAAAGGCCUAUAUUAUUUGACAUAUAUAUUACAUGUUUAUACCUUUUUAAUCCAUCGUAUCUUUAGUUUCCAUCAAUCAAUGUGUUAUUUGUAGUUUGGGUUGGCGAUAAGUUCUUGAUAAGAAAUUUUGCUUAUAAGUCUUAUUGCAUUACUUGAGCUAUUCUCAUUGCUUAACCAACAUAAGUUGCCAACUACCUGAGAGAGUAAGUAGCAAGGACAUGGCUAACACACACAAAUAAACUAAAACUGACCCUUAGUAACUAAAACUUCUUCUACUUUUAAAUAUAUACCACAUGAAUCACAAGGAUGGAAUCAUGGACAUUCUGGUGGGCCCUCAUCCCGUGAUGUGAUAUUUACGAGAUGAAAAUUAGGCGUCAGUAGUUUCCUAUCUCGCUAUAGCUACAAUGAGAUGGAAACUUGGUAUUUGUACAGGCCCUCAUCCUUUAAGAUGGAAAACUAGGCAUCUGUACACCCUCAACUCAUUUAUUUGUUCCAGUGAUGGAAACUAGGGUAUCUACUGAUCAAUCCCCUCAUUAAAAGAACAUUUGUGCACAAGCCAUAUCCCCCAACAAUUUGCUAUACAUAUUGAACAGUAUAGUCUAAAUCAUUAUGAAAUCAUUCUUUAACUUAAAUACUUAUCAUAAAAUAUACUUGACAAAUGUUUCAAAUCUCAUGCUUUGGAAACAUUUUGCUAAAUCAGUAAACUCAAGUAAUUCAUACAUCAAACCAUGCUUAAAACAUUUAACAGAUAAUUUAGAUUCAGAAAUCAACAUUAAAUUAAUUUUAUCACUCAUAAAUUGUAGCUCAAAACCUUGGCUUAUAAACUUGCCCGAUCUCUUCUUGACCUAAAAUAACGAGAAAUAAUUCCAUUUAAUUCCCUUUAAUCAUAAAAACCUCAAAACUUUGCUUAAGAUUUUCCAAAAUAUCAAAAACACUCCAAAAACACCGAAAUGGCAUGUCUGGCCUGCAACGGGUGGAUAGUAGAGCCCUAGCUACGUGCUCUAGGUUGCCCACGCUAACCCUUAAUAGUAAGUUAAGGGUUAGAUUCAAAUAAUAAAAAAUAAUAAUUUGGUUAUUUUGAAAUUAGUAAAAUAGAAUAAAGUUGUUAAAAUCUUCAACCAAUUGGUUCAGUCCCGAGAUAUUAUGAAGAGGUUAUAAUAGGGGUUAUUAUAUCUCUAACAUGUCCAAAACAAUUAUACUCAUAAAUGCAUGACAAUGAUUAAUUACACUAGAGAUUAAAUAAUUACAGUUCAAGAAUGUGAGUAUUUUGGUAUUUUAUAUAAAAUACCAUGUAUGUAUUAUUGCUAAAAAUCAAAAGAAAAAAUAGUUUUACCAUUUUUGAAAAUGACUCAUAAAAACCACACCUACACCAAACGUUUUCUUCUUCAAAAGAGAUUCUCUUUCCUCUCAAUUUGUUCAACAACUAGUCCUCAUUAUUGUUGAAAUAAGUAUAUAUAUAUAUAUAUUUAAAUAUUGAAUGGUGAAUUAAAUUUCAACUCCAUCAUCUUGGAUUUCUUCUAUGUUGAUAAAAAAGACGAACACUUUCAUGAUUGAACUAAGCUAAGUGGGAAUUUCAUGUAUUCGUUCCAAAAAGUGGGUGGUCAAAGAUUCACUUCACUUUGCAAUUUAAGCUGUCACUCCAAACCUUCUUUGUUUUUUUCUUCGUCUUUCUUUUUUGAUGACAAAAAUGACCAAUCACAUAUUCAAUAUGAUGAUAAAUGUGUGUUAUUUGGUUUCCUUUCUUUAUGCUAUCUUUUUGUACAUGCUUUGCAUUCAAACCUUGCAUAAAACUAAUAAAGGACCAAUCACACCACACUUUAAUUAUGUCUUCUAUACUUUUUUUAUUAUUAUUAUUUUUAAGUUGAUUAUGCAAGGAUUAAAAUAAAGAAAAUUUUCAAAUGGUUAAUUGCAUCAUGCUCAUUAGGUCGAUAUAUAUAAUUGCAUCAUGCUUAUUUCAAUAACUAAUUUACUUGGAUAAGUUGUUCGUUUAAACCAUUCAAUUUAAUCAAAUCGAGCAAAUAAAUUUGAGUAUGUGAUGAUAUCAAUUAGUAUGGUUUUUUAUAUUAUUCAUCAUUUGGUUAAAUUGAGUAAGUAUACCAAUGGAAUGAAAUGGUUUAAAUAAAGAAAUUACCGUAAUAAAUCAUGGUUUAAAGUAUAUUAAAACUAAUUUGCAUAUCACUAUAUAAUUAAGUUACUCAAUUAAAAAGGAAUACUAAAAGGUGAAGUGUCAAAUUUUUGUUCUUGGACUAAUAAUGUUCAUUACUCUUUUAAAAAAAAGUAAUAUUCAUUACUUAAAUCAAGUUUCAUACUUAAAAGAUUAAAAUUGAAGAAAAUAUAUGGGUUUUUAAUUUGAAUUGUUGUUUGUCCUAUGUGAUCAUUAAGAAAAGGAUCCAAAUAAUUAUACACUUUAUUUAACAUAUAUAUCAAAUGAAGUUAAUAACUGCACACGAAUGGUGUAUGCCCUUUUUCUUUCUUGUUUUCUUUUUGAUAAUAACAAAGAAAAAGCUGAACUUUUCUUUGUUAUAAUUAAUUUAGACCAAAAUAGUGUAAUGGGGUAGUUUUGUAGCUUUAUGGGAAAAGAUAAAUUAGUAAUUAAUUAGUUUAGUAUGUAUUUGUUUGUUAAAGGCACAAAAGCUUGAGAGAGUGAUAUGAUUGUUAUAUUAAUUUAAUCAAAAUGUUAGGAUCCAAAAUUAAGAGUGAAUAUUCUUAGGGUUUUGACUAAGCUUUAAUUUUAAAAUAAAGUUGAACUCCAUUUUGAAAAGAGGAUACUUUUUGUAUGUUUUGUUUUCUUAAACAAUCUAAUUACAAUCCUCAUUAGGUGGGCAUUUGAUAUUGCUUCCUAGCUUUUAGGUUCUAAAAGUUUCAAAAAAUGCUCUUCAUCUUACCAAAUAUCCAAGUAAGAGUUAUAUAUAUAUGGUUUUAAUCCUAACUUUGUUUAGAACAAUUAUUAUUAAUUAUGAUGGGGUGCCAUUAUACUAACUUUAUUGUAUAUUAUAGAUUAUAUUGAAUUGAAUUUCACAUUGUAAUAAUAAAUAGAAAACGUGCAGAUUUUUGAAACCUUUUAUGUAAAAGGAGUUUAUAUAUAGCACAUUAUUGAGUGCAUAUAAGUCCAAGAAAAAUAAACAUUUUGCAAUUCUAUCAUUUUCAUUAAAAUAUAUAACGUCUAACUCAAGGAUAUCACAUUGCAUCAUAUUAAUUUUUCUAACAAAUCGAAGUUAGGACUAAGAACUCCUAAAAAUUUCUCUUUGUGGGGACUAAGAACUCCUAAAAAUUUCUCUUUGUGGGCUCGUCUUUUUUCUCAAUUUAAUUUUUAAGUUUUUGAUUUUGUACGGUGGUUAUUAGGUUUUAAAUGUGUGUAAAAACGUCAAUAGAAACAUUGUGAAACUAUGUUAGUUUAUGAAAAUGUGUAAGAUCAUAAUAAAAACACUAGAAGAAAUAUGACCUUUAAUGUCAGAAAAAAUGAAAACGAAUAUUUAAUGUCAGUUUCUAAAAAGCAAAUCUUUAAUGUUAGUUUUUUUAGGUUAUUUGCAUGCUCUUCAUGUCUUACUUAACAAAGACAAUAUAUCCUUUCAUUUCAUACAUUGCCCAUCCCUCCUUCUGGCCCCUUUCUUUGACUUCAUGCCUUGUCCCCUUUCUAUGGCACUUCAAUCCUAUAACAUGUGCUUUCUAUGAUUUUUGAAAAUUAACACUCAGCUGCCCUUUUAACCAAGUAUUGAAAUAUAUUUCUUUUUUAGUCCAAAACAUUAUACAUGCUCUUUAAUUUGGUCAUAAAUACAUAAAAUCUUGGUAUAAAUUCCACUUCCACCAAGGUACACCCUUGAGCUUCUUAGAAAUUUUGAAAUUUAAAAAAUAUUGAAAAUUUUCUAAAGACUUGGGAAUCGGGGUUUACAAAAAUAAUGAAGUCUAAUCGCAUGAGAAUAGAAGUAAACAAGGAAAAAAAGUAGGUGAUUUGAUUAAUUUGUGAAUAACAGUGUACAAAAGAACCUCAUCCUUGUUUUAUAGUGUUUUAGUGCUUUUAUCACAGGAUAUUAGGAAAAACAAGUGAAGCUCGAUGAUAUAAUGUUUACACGAGGAGACGCGUCUAGCCAAGGCAGCGACAAGCAAAUAAGCUAGGUGAUUUGAGGCACUAGCAGCCAAAUUUGGUUGGUAGGAAAGUCAAGAAAAGGAUAAAAGAACGUUUGUGCAAGGCUGAUACAACUUUUCAGAGCAUUAGUGACAUGUGAGAUGUCUUGUCAACACCACUCUUUGCCUAUAAAUAGAGCUUCUUACUUCAGAACAAAGUGUGCACAUAUUGGUCAAAGAGCAAGUUCAUACAUCGUUCGUCUUCUCCCUUCCCUAAGUUUUAGGUGAGAGCUUAGAACAAAAGAGAGAGAGUUCAUCCUCUUCAUCUUCUCACUCACCAAUAGGCAAAAAUCAGAGCCAAAGAGUAUGAUAAAUCAUAGUUUGAGGCAUAACACCUUCUCUUGUAUUCCGUAUCACAAUUUUCUUAUAUUUUUUUGUAAGAUGUAUAUCAUGGCCGAAAGACCUAAAGUUAUUUUUAUGAAAGCAAUACAUUUCUUCUUCCAUUCUCUCAUUUAUCUUUUAUUUUUCAUGUUCAAUAUGUUUGGUUAACUUGUGCACAAUGAAAUGUGUUUUCAGUACCUAGAGAAUCAUUGUGUUUGCACUAUGAGUUUCUUUUAGUUAAACGCAGAGGUCAAAACAUUAUUUAUUAGAGAGAAGAACAAUGAUAUUGAUUCUAAUCACCUGACAAGUGAAGACACGCAUUUAGCUAAGCAAGUGGCGAGAAGAUUGUAGCAAUACAAUCUUGUUGCCAAGCUUAUCCUUCGCAUCCAUUGCAAAAAUGUCAAUGUGUGUGAAAAAAGCACCGAGAACCACCCUAAUCAAGGAGAAAUGACUAAUAAUAUAUCCAAGAUGAUUAGAUAUAAAUCAUAGCUUAACUUUGUGUAUUUAGAUCCCCCGCAAGCGAGCAAGUAUGGCAAUGGCGACGAGAGGUAGCUUGCUCUAAUUCCAAGUUAAUAUAUGCUUUAUAUCACCUUGAAUUAUUAAAACACAAUUCCAUACUAAGAGAUAAUUAAACUAUUCCCUUCUCACCAUGCCUAGACAUGAGUUCAAUUUUUAUUUUCAUCAUCUUGUCAUGUUCACCCUACACCGCCAAGCACCUUAGUUUAGAUAGUUAGGAUAAAAGUACACUGUGCAUAAUUUUACUAUAUAGUUUAUACCGCAUAAUUUAGUUGCACGAUAAGAGAUCUAGGAGCUUAAAUUCUCUGUGUUUAACCCUGGACAUUCCAGAAACCCUCUCUUCGCUUACAUUUGAUAAUAGAGUGGAAAACUUGCACGACAUGCAUAUCCUUAGAAAGUUAGCAAUGCAUGAAUAGAAAUGUAGCUUUUAAUGCACAACCCUAUUCAGUCACCUAAUAGUCUCUCGCUUAGAGCUCACCAUGAUAGAUCCAUGAUAGAAACUUAGGCAUAGAAUAUUUCAAGCACCAUUUCUCAACCAAUGCCCAUUCUGGUUGUAGUGGCAACAUUUACCUUUCGCAACUUUCUUUCCCUUGCUACACUUGGGAGUCUUCCCCUUUCCCUUCUCCUUCAUUUCUGAAGGUCCAACUAUAGUUUUAAUGGAUGAUAAUACUCUCAUAAACUCUUUCUCUAUGGUAGCUGUUGGGAUUUAUGUCCUAAAACUCGUAGAUUGUAAAUAUAACCAAUUGACUGUUAUUAAUAAAGUGUUAUUAUUAUAUUAAAUAUUAUUAAUUAUAUUAUUAGUUUUGUCUUAAUAACCCAAAUCCAAUAAACUAACAUCCUAACAUGUUUGAUGAGCCUUGAAUAGUAUGGAUGCGACUCACUUUGUAUUUGAUAACACUAUGGAUACGACUCACUUUGUAUUUGAUACAAACGCAAUGAUCUAACGUGUUCAUGUAGGUGUCAUACGAGUGAGGGUAUCCUAUCUAAUGAGUUUGCAUAAGAUUGGACCAUGAAAUACUAACCACUAGAUGUACACUAUUUAGGUUUCUAUUUCAUUAGAAUGACCUAUGUAACUUAGUCUUAAUCCAAAGUGUAUUAUGAAUUCUUGUUCGUGAGGGAUUGUCCUUUGAUUUGUACGGGUGAAAUUGACUAGAUUGUCGACUAAAUAUGCUUAUCAUUUUGGGGACAACAUGAGUGGGGAGUUGAGAACAUAAUUACACAAAAUGGAAUUCACUCCUUCCCUACUUUACGGAUAAGUAGAUAAGUAUUUCCUUAAAUUGUGUCUUCAAGACUUGAAUAAAGAGUCAUAUCCUUUCUAUGGAAUGAGAGGGGUUUCUGUUUAUUAGUUGGACCAUAAACAGGUUAUUCAUUAAAUGAGUACUAGAACUUACAGACUAUAGUAACCUAGGGAUAGCUGGUGUAAUGAACACUCGUGAAGGACUAACUUACUGUUAUUAGUCUAUAUCCGUGGACACAAAAAUAUAUCUACAAUGAGAAGAGUUCAGUUGUCAGUCUUUAGUGGAGUGUACACACAGUUAAUGAAUAUUGAUUAAUGUGGUUAAUGAGUUUAGCCAAUUAAUCUCAUAUCGUUGUAGCUUUGAUCUAUAGUUUCAUUGGGUCUCCUACCUAGCUCCUAAAGGAUAAUGAGAUUUAUUUAUAUUGGUUGUAAACUCAAAUGUUCAAAUUUACUUUGAGAAGUAGUAUAAUGUAUGGUGAUACAUUAUAAUAAAAUGUUUAUAUUUUAAGCAAACUUUAUUUUAUAAAUUUAAUUUUGGAUAUGAAUCAAAAUUAACUCAUGAGGUAUAAAAUAUUUUAAUGAGUUCAAAUAUUAAUUUAAUGUGAAUUGUAUUCAUAUUAAAAUUAUCAGUUAGGAGAUAAGUUUAUAUUUGAAUAUUAUUCAAAUUUAAUUUAAGUUAAAUAUAAGAUAUUUGAUUUAGCUAUUAAUUAAUUGAAAAAUUAAUUAAUAGUUUAGUUUUAUUAAAUUAAAUUAAUUUUAAAAUAUAAGAUAUUGGAGAGAUAUUAAUUAAAUAUGAUUUAAAUGAAAUAUUAAUUAAAUGUGAUUUAAUUAAUUAUUCGUCGAUUAAUUAGUUGAUUUGAAAUUUAUAUUUUUGAAAAUUUUUAAUUAAUAGAAUCUAAUGAUUCUCUUCUACUCCAAGGAAAUGAAGUUAUAAAUAUGCAUAAGAAAAACAGUUUUUCUAAGUCAAAAUUAAGCUAAUGUUUUUGCUCUCUGCAAAAAUAGUUUCUCCCUAAAAACUUUUUUCCAUCCCAGUUGGUCCUGACAAACCAAUCUCAUCCAAGAGAAUAGAAAGGUUGUCGACUGGUGUUGUCUCAAUUUAACUAGAUUUAGAGGCGACAAACUAAGUUUUACUAAAGCAUGUUCAAAUAAUUUACAUUUUUAUCUUUGAAUUUCCACAAAUACUCACUUUUUUCAUGUAAAGACGAAGUGAAUGUUACUUGCAAAGCCCUAGGGCCAGAAUUUGGAAUUCAGAUUCGACAUCUAGUAACUUCGACACUCCCACCUAGAUAUAUCAUUCUUGUUUGUCUGUAAAUUUUUUUAAAGAGCAAAAGUUGUCCUUACAAGCAUGCUUUGUUUUUUCUCAAGGUCCCACAUACAUUAUAGAAAAUUCCAUAUUGCUUCAAGCUAAAUACGAGUUCUUAUGAUUGAGUCAUCAAAAGGAAUGUGUAAUGUAGGUAGUAACUUUCAAUUCUUUUAAACCUUUGUGUAACUAUUCAGUUGUGAUAUCGAUUGAUUCGUACUAUUUGUAAACUCGAGAUGUGAUAAGAAUGAAGGGAGUUGUUAAGGCUUUUACUUUUUAGAUACAAUAGUUAAUUACGUGGAGGUUAUAAAAAGAAGUUUAAAGGAAGAAAGAGAAGAGCAUAUGAUUAAAUGUAUAGUAGUAGUAGUCUAUAGAGCAUAAUUUAAAUCAUAAUUUAAAUUCAAAGGUCUCCGACUGGUGGUGUCCCAAUUUGGAAGUUUUAUUGCAAGAAACAGAGGUGAGAGUGCUUUUCAUUCUUAUACUUGAAGCUUGGAUAAUCUCACUUCUUGCUUUUCUGCUUGUGGUGAUAAACUUCAAGAGGGAGUCUCAUCCUGUACAUGUCUGAAGAAACUUCAACCCAAGUAACUAGGAAAAAUUAGUUUGUGGGAAUUACUUGUGAGAACAGGAUUAUCUAUUUCAUUUUCACAUUUGGCUUUGUAUGAUUCAAUUACAUCAAAGUGAUAUGUAAUUGGAAGAUUGAAUUGAAGACAUUUGGAUCCAAAGAUACGUAAUGGAGUUUGUAUUUUGUAAUCUGUGCAUAGUCAGACUUGGUUAGGUAAUAGGUGGACUUUUAGAAUGCUACUCUUUUUUAUUCUUAAACCCUAAGGCCUUAUUGUUAUAUACUUUAAAUGCACUAAUUUUAUUAGUUAGUUGAUAAAUGUUGGUGAAAAUGAUUUUUUUUCAUCAUCCUUUUUAAGAGUAGAGGCAUCAUGGUUGGUGUGGUUUUACUUCUAACAUUCAAUUAAUUGGCAUUUUGCACGUAUAAAUGAACACCAUCAUUUCUAUUCAUGAAAAAUGCUCAUCAAUUAAUGUGGGUUGAAAAAGAACAUCAGGAGUAGUUGUAUAUUGGUUUGAUGUGCCCUUGUUUAUAAUGUGUAGUUGCUAACCUAUCUAGUGCUUUAUGCACACAUACAUACACACGUAUACUCUCUGUAUUUUUCUCUUUUUGUCUCCAUGAACAAUGAGAAACCAAUACAAACAGAUGAAUUCUUUGUUUGGUUCUCUUUCUCUAUCUCAAUGUUGGGAAAAACUAAAUAUUUGAGGCAUUUGAUUUCAGGAAUUGUUACAAAGGUUUGAUCAAAAGGUUGUUGUAGUUGUUGUGGCAAGAUUAACCUUUUUUUAAAAUUUUAUAUUUUUUUAAUUUAGUUGAACCUUCAUGAAACAAUCUUUUUUUCUCCUUUUGGAGAGCCACACCAACCUACUUAAAUGCUUAUAUCACAAUAUAACUUAUAUUUAUUCGUUUAGGUCACCAUCAGUUUGUCUUCAAACAUUUUAAAUUGCAUCUUUUUUGGCUUGGGAAACUGAAAAAAUAAUUUGGGAGACGGCUCGAAGGUUUAGGGAAAGAAGAGAAAGGUUGAGUUUUUAAUUGAUAUUCCAUUUUUCAAUAAUGGUUUAUUCAUUCUUUUUCCUAUUGUGCUUUUUUCAUAAUUUUACAUCAUCAUGAUUCCCUGAUGUGUAGUUAUUCCUAACGUUGUUGACACUACUAUUCUUAUUCAUGAAUUUCAAGUCAUCCUAAACAUUUAUUUUGUUGUUUCUUUCAAAUAUGAUAUGUUCUUAUUUGAUAUUUACUCUCAUUAACAUAGUUGGUUCAAAUAUGGUAUAUGCUCAAUAUAUGAGGUUCUUUCUAAUUUAGUUAAAAUUUUGAAAGUAGUCUGUCUUUAUAUUGGAAAAGUUUUGUAGGGAAGGCACAUGUAUUCUUCUUUCUUUUUUACCAUUGUUUUAUCUUUUGAGUCCAUUUGUUAUGUUGAAGGGGAGAACUAUGUUGAAGGGGAGGAAGUGUCCAAUCGUGCAACUGUUGAAAGCAAACAGAAAGAAGUGCUCAAGGUUUGCAACUUGGAUGUGGAUAUUUCUGAGUAACUUUUACUUCUUGUUGUUUGCGAACCUUUUCUAUUGUCACACUCAGGUAAUUGUCACCGAGGUUUUGGAUGGUGACAAGUUUUAUGUUCAGACAAUUCCGGACCAAACAGCCACUUCUCUACAGCAGCAACUAGAGACUUUGAAUCUUCAAGAAGUCCCUUUAAUCUGUGGUUUUAGUCCUAAAAAAGGUGAUAUCGUCCUAGCUCAAUUUAGUUCAGACAACUAGUAAGGGUAAUUAUGAGUACCCUUUUUUAUUACGUCUUCUUUGAUUGGAGCUCACUUAAUCUAUUUAUGAAAUUUUGCUACUGCAAAAUGUUGUCUUUCUUUGUCUUGACUAUUAGAAAUUUUUCUUCUUUCCACUACUUUUUUGAAGUUCUAACAAUCAUUUUCUAAUAUUUUAAGUUGGAGUUUUGUUUAAGUUAUCACUUGAAUUCGAGCUUUUGUUUAAGUUAUCAUUGAUAAUAAAUCAUGAACAUGUCUCAUUAUUAUUUAUGAGCAUCAGUGUUACUUUUUGACUAAAUCUCUGUAUAAUAUGAAAAUUAUGGUUCCAAAUUGGCUACUAGUUUGUUAAACUAGAACAAAUAUUUUAUAGCUCUUGAUUUGGUCAUUGGAAGCCUGCAAGAAUUAUUGGAAGCAUAAUUUAUUGUUUUCUUUUGGCAAGUAUAAUCUUUAUCUAAGAUGAAGAGUAAUCCAAUUUAAAUGCUAGUUUUGGAAAAGUUUGGUAGUUCUUGACUUAGCUAGCUUACUGUUUAACUUCUCUCAUAUUUAGGUAGGCUAUGCUACUAUGGCUAUUGGAGCGCCUUGGAUUUUUCAUUCUAUAAAGCAAUUGGUUGAACCAUUACUCUUUAGUUGUCAUGUCGUUCCAUUGAUGCUUACAGGUAUUCUAUUAAACUCCAGAGCUAUGGUUAUUAAGUUAAAUAGAAAUCAAUUUUUCUUCUGGCCAGUAAGGUACUGGAUAAUUUUAUUAUCUGCUACAUGCGUAGUCAGUCUACUUUUCAUUAUUGCAUGGUUAGAACUUUUAAUUUAGUUCAUUCUUAGGAUUUCAAUCUCUUGAACUCAAUCAUUUAAGCACAACUUUACUCAUCUUGACACAUCAAAAGGCUUAGUUGAAUAAUUCUACCAAAGAGGUAUGAUUAGGAAAUUAUCUUUGCACUUGCUUAGAAAUUAAACCACUCUCUGUUAUCUCAGCAAUAUCUAGUAUACCAAGUCAACAAAAUUCAUUUACAGGUACUUUAUAUUUAGUUAAACAAAGUUUUUAAAUAGUUUUUAUAUGGAAGACCUUUUAUUGGUUCCUCUUUCCAUUUCAAGUUUGAAGAGAUUGAAUAUGUUAGAAACUUAGAUAUCGAACUUGUAAUAUGAAUUAAAUGUAUUGGUUGUUAUAUGGUGAUGAAAUAAAAUGUUUUUAUGAGCCAUGACUCGUUGCUUUCUUUUGUUUGUACGUCUGCAAUCUUCUUAGAUUAGGUCUUUCCAUCGCAAUGGAUUUUCUUGCAAGAAAUGAGAUUUACUUUGACAAGAUUUGUUCUAUAGCUUUUACAACUAUCUCGUUUAUUUUUAAUGAUUUUUCUUGAAUGAAUUAUGUAUUUAGAUCAAUCAGUUUCUUUUCAGUCUGGUGGUUGCAUUUCAUAUUCAUUAGUUUUUUAUGCAAUUAAAUGAAUUGUCUCUCUUUUUUAUUUGUAAGGUUAUUAUAGCUUUAGCCAAAAGUUAAAAGCAUACUGUUCGUCUAUCUUUUCGUAGUUAUUGCAUACGGUAUGUUAGAUAGUUUUUUGUUGACCCAAUCUUUAUAGAUCUUCACAUUUAAGUCCUCAUUGCUAUAUGCCAGUUGGAGUUAGAAGUUAAAGUUCUUAGUUUUAAUGCUAAUCUUAUUUCGUUUGUAGAUUUCAAGGAGUUGAGGAUAACAAUCGAUGAGGCUUUGAUCAGUUUGGAGUCAUCUAAGAGUGUUGUGGUGCUUGGAGGAGGGUGAUAUCUCUUUUUCUUAUUAUUACAUAUACUUUCUGUUUUAUGAUUAAGAACAAUGUUCAUAACGGGUUUUGUAAUAUGAAUGAGAACAAUAUGUUUCUAUGUUGUAAGUAUGUAAUGACCAACUAUAUGUAUAUGUUUCAAUGAUAUAUAUGCAAUUUGUUAGUUAUUUGAUUGAAAAUUUGGGUUGAUUCAAGAAACGUAAAUAGUUCAAUUGAUCAUGUUGUAUACCAUUCUUGGACUUCAAAACAGGUGUAAUAUAAUUAUAUGGAUAUUUCAAAUUGUACAAUUUUUCAUUUAAAAGAAAAAUAAAAGUCUUGGCAUACAAAACGUGUCAAGAAUAAACAAAUUAUUGACAUUUAUAAACUGUCAAGUAUAAUUUUACUUGACGUGUAAAAACUGUUAAACAAAAAACUCUCUUAUUCUUGAUAUUGGAUUACUUGAUGUGUAAAAAGCGUAAAGUAAUCUCGUAUACUUAACGUUUUUUUAUCAGUCAAGUAUAAUUGUAUAACUUGUCGCUUAAACAGCAAGUAAAUUUUCCUUUUCUUUCUUUACAUUAGAUUAGUUUGACGCAUUAACAAGGAUAAAGUAAACAAAUACUUGACAGCUAAAAAGAGUGAAGUGUUGCCAGUUUUGGCUCAUGGUGCAUCCUCAUGUAUUAGUAAUUGUAAUGUGUGAAGUGGAAGAUUGUGUCUCACUCUAAUUUUGGCUAUCCGUUAGUAGUUAUCUUCUGGUCUAAUUCGAAAUAUUCGGUGAUAAACAAAGAGUUAGAAAAUCAUAGCGAAGUUUUGUCCCUUAGUAAAUUCUUUUUGAUCUUUGAAUAGCGAGUCGGUGAUUCCUUUCCCCUGCUGGCCAUGAAUUUCGAUUCAAAAUUCCAGCUGAAAUACAUGAAAAGAGCAUAACCCUCGUUCUUCUAUCCGUGAAAAUAGUUAGUUCAUUUUUUAUUUUUUAUUUUUUGUUAUUAUUAAUCUUCUGAUGUUCAAAUGUUAUUGUAAGAUUAUGUUGGUGGUAAAUUUGCAAUAAGAUGCCAGAUGUUAUUAGAUUCUGUCCUAUCCCGAUUCUUUUUGUGGGAUUAUUUAUAAUAUGCCUAAUGUGUUCUUGCAUUUUUUUUUUUUAACUCUCUUCGAAAGUGCUGGUUUUCAUCUAAAAAUGAAAAAAAGAAAGAAAGGAAAACAGUAUAUAAAAAACAUCACUCAAGUGUUGAAGUUCUUUUGUCUUCUGUCUUAUAUUCUUACAUUUUCAUCUCCAUCCCUACCCAUCUUCUCCAAAGUUUCCACUAAAGUUUCCUUAUGUUUUGGUUUCAUUUUUAUCUUCCAUCUCUCUCUCUCUCUCUCUCUCUCUCUUGACUUUUUUAUUUUUCUUUUCAUUUUUUUGGAUGUUAGCCUUCCUUCCUACUGUUAUGUGUUACCCUUGAGCCUCAAAUUGACAUUCCAAGAAAUGAGAUAUUAAAUUUUGCACCUAAGAAAAGUUACCUAUGACCACAAACAUUUACAACCCUGACCACAGAAAACAAAGGGAAAGUGGAUUUGUAGUACUUUCCUUCAAACAUUUCGUAGAUGUAUGAAAAGAAGAAAAAAUAUGUGGAGGUGUCCAUCAAACAUUUUACUUCGCCUCGCUUCCACACAAUUUGAAGAGAAACAUGGCAAUCUUUGAUGUCCUUCAGUUUUCUUUCAUGAACCCAAUCCAUGUGUUAUCCUGCGUAUCUUCAAAAAAUAAUUGAAAACUAGCAUAUAUAAUUGCAAAUCUCAGGUAACUACGUACUUGGAGCCAGAUUUUCUCAUAACAUGGCCACCAUUUCUCACGUAACUAUGUACUUCCAAUUGAUGCCAGAAAACCUUAGCCAAACCACCCACUACGUAAUUGCUUUGUUCAUAACUGCAAUUUUAUCAUUAUUUUGUUCACAGAGAGGUUUUAUCAUCUUUGGAAAGGAUGAGAGUCAGUAUACUACUUGGGUCAUGUGCACUUGAUAUCUCAUUCUAUUACCAGAGAAAUAAAAAUCAUUUCCCAUGGGACGUAGAUGACUACCCUAAAUUUGUCGUACCUAUUAAUGCUACUCAAUUUCUUCGUUAGCUUUACCUUGACUUAACAGACUAAAAUAUAAUGCAGAAACUUAAAGUAUGCCAAGGAAGAUACAGAAUUCCAUUGUCACUCUUAUAACUUAUCUUAAUCUUAAGCAAGAUCCUUGACUUACCAUGGUUGCAUAUAACGUUUGUUAAACAAACGUUAUAUGCAACCAUGGUAAGUCAAGGAUCUUGGAGACUACUUGAAAGUACUUUGAUGCACCUUGGAUGGCACAACAUUGGUUGUAUUUGUGUGGUUCUACUUAGCCUAAUUUCAAUUGAAUUUCGAUACUGUAACAGUAAUUAUUUGUUUAUUGUUUGGAGAGAUACAAAUGCAUUGAUGGACUAUGACCAGCUUUCUUUCUUAACUCUCAAAACAACCGAGUAAACAAAAUAUCUAAUUACUAGCGCAUACCUUAUGCUUGUUGGAGUAGGAUAAUGAAUAUCGAUGAACGACCCAUUAUCUUAUUUUAGAGUAAUGGAAUUCUGAAGGCAAUGCUUUUUCCUUGUUUGGUAUGUACAACCAUUUCCAACCAACCUCUCAUUUAUAUAUAUUUAUGAGUUUCUUGAUAAUAAAGAAGAGGUCAGACUUCUAGAUAAAGAAUUAGUUGAGAUAUUUGAAGUUUUUAAGAAAAAAUUCAUGUUUUCGAUCACCAAUUUGAUCGUACAAUCGUAUUCUAAAGUUAGAGAGUAUUAGAGAAGACUCUUGUGGUUGUCUAUGACUUAGAAUCAACCAAAACAAUCCAAAACUAAAGAAGAAUUUUGAAUUCAAAGGUUAGUGCUUUUUGUUUUUAUGUUUUUCUAUUUUUCAAUUUCACGUGUUAAGUUAGAUGAAAUUAGAAUGUUGUUUUGAUAUUGUGUUUGGUACCAUGCUUAAUUUUUCCAUCAUACUAAUAAUAAGAUAUGGGUUUUAUGCCUAUAAGUGAUGUUGCAUGCAAAAUAGUGUGGCCUCAUAUAACAAACAAUCUAACAAUCAACCAAUAGCUAAAACAAGUAACUAAGGAUUUAUUUACCAACUUUCCUUACCCUACAUGUUCUUCAUUGAUAUGCUAAACUUGGUAAUCUUAUUCCACCUGACGCAUUUCAUGCUCAAAAUUUAAUAUUGUAAGCUCUUGCUGUUGUAUGAAUUAAUACAAUAUUACUAAUUUUCUUAUAUUGAAACUUUAGAUUUCUUAACAAAUGAACCGUGCACAUGAAAUGAAACACAUUAGGAAAUAUUAACUCUACAAGUUUACAAAUGGUUAUGUGUCUCCUUUGACCAAUUACUCUCUUCAGUUGAGUGUAAAGCCAAAUUCAUAAAGAAUUGUUCUCAAAAUCAACUAGGAAAAUUUGGUUAUUAGUAAAAUGAAAAUUAUAUUCCAAAUUCGAAUAGAGAUUCCAAUCAAAAUUUGUCCAAUUUUCAAAGAUGGGGCAUUAUUUAAAGUAUUGUCUCAAAUCAAAAUAAAGGCAAACUCCAAAAAAAUUUCAAAUCAAAGUUGGGGGUGAAAUUCUACAUCAAAUUCGCAUAAAAGAAUUGAGUAUAUUACAAGGCAAAAAAAAAAAAAAAAGAGAAAAAAAGUUAGAAUUCCAUAUACUACACAGAUUUUAUUUUGCAAUUAACAUGGACCAUACAAUCUACUUUGGUUGAAGUUAAAGUAUAUUCUCAAACAAAUGAAUAAAUUCAUCGUUUGUUUCCUUGGUGUCAAAUGUGUGAGGCAAACAACAUUUCAAAUAAAAAAAUUUAGAAAAAUUUGACCUAAAUUCUAAUUUUUUUUGGAUAAUUGCAAAUUUGACAAUUAAUUUUAAAAUAAUUAAGUAUAUAGCAACAUUUUUAAAAAAUUGCAAAUAUAGUAAAAUUUGUCAAAUUCUAUCAAUGAUAGAGUCUAUCACUAAUAGACCAUGUUAUAAAAAUUGGUCUAUCACCGAUAGAUCAUAUGAAUCUAUCAGUGAUACAAGUUUAUCAGCGAUAGUUUUGCUAUAUUUGCAAUUUUUUAAAAGUGUUGUUAUAUCCUUAAUUAUUAUUCCUCAAAUGAUCAUCUAUUACAAUUACCCAAUUAUAAAUGAAUUAAGUUGAGUAAUUAAAGUGGCUUGAAUCUAACCCAAUUUCAGCCCACUGGUGAAAUUUUUUGUCAAAGAUGACAUUCGACUCGAUUCCAUCAUACAAUUGGGCCUAAACCCACCUUAAAACCCAUGAAAAUUCUCCAUAAAUAGAGGUAUUACCCUUUCAUUCGAGGAGGGAAGAAGCAAAUGGAAGAAUUCAUGAUGAAGAUUUGAAGAUUCCACUUCUAAAGCUCUAAAACAUUAAGCAUUAAUCAUCACACACAUGAUAUAUGCUUAAACAGCAGACACAUAAUAUUUCAUAUGUGUUAUAGUAUAUAUUAAAUAUCAUUAAGCAUUAAGCACAAUACAUAAUAUAUUAUUAAACACCAGACACAUAAUGUAGAGACAUUUUUUAAAAUAGCAAAAUAAAUUAAAAUAUUUACAACAUGUAGCAAAAUUUUGAAUUCUAUCAAUAAUAGAAACUGAUAGACUUUCUAUCAAUGCCAGUGAUAUAAGCAUAUCGGUGUCUAUCAAUGUCUAUUAUUAAUAAAAUCUUAAAAAAUUUAUAUAUAUUGUAAAUAUUUUGUCAAAUUUGUUAUUUUUGAUCAUUCCCUCAUAAUAUAUUACAUAUUAUACAUUGUAUAGAAAAUAUCAUUAGCAAUACAUUUUACUAAUUGUAUUGAUAUAAAUUUGUACUUUCACACAAAGUAAAACUUGUUACAAAAUUAAAAUAUGUACACAUACAUUGUUAUAUAGUAUUAUGUUAAAUAUACAAAGGUAUAUAAAAUCGAAAACAAUUUUAGUCACAUUAAGAUUUUACAAAUUAACUUUUAAUAUAUGAAAAUUAAUUCAAAUUAGAUGAAAUAUAAUAAAUAUAUAUCAUAAAUUAUUAAAUUGCAUUAAAUAUAUGCAAAACAAAGAAAUGACAUAGUAUAUAUAUUUGACUGAUUGUAAAUAUGGUUAUAUAUUAUAAAUUAUGUGGCAUAUAUACUCUAUUCCCUGUAAAUUUUCUUUAUUGAAAUAUUUACCGACAUAUUAUAUUUCACAACUUCAUACACAUAAUUAAUACUAUGAAACAAAUAUGUACUCACUGAAAAAUUUUGAAGGAGAUGAACUGAAUAAGAAAGAAUGAACGAAGAGAGGGAUCAGACGAAUGAAGAAUUUUUUAACAAAGCCACCAAAAGAAAAAUAAUUAAGGAAUAAUUUUGAUUCUAAUAUUACAAUAACAUAAUUAAUAACAUACCAUAUUUACAUAAGAUAUCUAAUAAAUACAAAUCUUAUUUAUAUGUUAUAGUUCACUUUUUUUAUUUUUUUAAAUAUAUUAUUAAUAAUAAAAAUAGGUAAUUUGGUCUUUUGGUCUCAACACUUGUGUAAAAUUGAGGCUUAUUAAGACAUUUAUGAAAAAAUUGACAAUUAGAUUCAACUUGUUAUCAUCUAUCAUAUUUAGGGUAUAGUACUUAAAACUUCAAAAAUUUAACUAAAUUAGUUCUAUGCUACCUUAAUUUUUAAAUUAUACAACUGACAAAUUCAAUCACCCAAGCUCAAAUUGAUGGGCUUGAAGUAAAAUGUCGAAAAUGCCUCUAGUUUUUCAAAUAAUUAUAGUCAUUUGAUAACCAUAUAAUUGUGAUGUGAUCAUCAUGUGUCAUCUGAUUACAACUAAUUGUUUUUAGUUUUCAAUUCUAGUUAGUGGUGUAAGAUACUUUUCUUGGAUUACCUUUUCAUUUUUAUAAGAUUAUUAUUUUAUUUAGUUUGCCUUUUGUGAUAGUCAUUUAAUUACUUUUUUUGUCAUAGUAAUUUUUUAUAUUACUUAUGUGAUUAUCGUCUGAUUACUAUGUUAUACUAAUUAUAAAUGAUAUUGGUUUGUCAUCUUAUUGUUAUUUAAUUUAAUACCAAAUGAUAUCUAACUGUAAAUGAAAUCAAUUGGUACAUCUAAUGACCUUGCCUUUGUUUUUUUUAUAAGUAUUAAGAAUUUGUUAUAUAAUCGGUAAUAGUAUGAAUUUGGUACUAUCGCUAUAUUAGGAUUGUGUGCAAUAGAUAUUAUUGAGAAAAAAUUAAAAUAAUAAAAAAGGAAUAUUGAAGAAAGUCCCACAAAUGGUCUCUUCAGUGUUUUUGAAGUCAAACAACAAUCCAUCAGUCUCCUCAUCUUCCAUACGCAACCCGACAACCGAACCUCUAAACAACUUGGCUCUCUGUUCUUGUGGGUAAGUUUCAAUUUCGGAUAACCAUUCUUAAGUUUUCUAUUCUUUUGCGGGGAUAAGAACAUUUCUCCACAUUUCUCUCUCUGUUUCUUCAAGAACAAGAACAACUACAAGUAGUGAGAUCGAACCAUGGAUUCCUCUUCACCUUCUUCCAUUGAUGCCCUUCCAGAUGGGCUCAAAGAUAAAGUGUCAACGGUUGACCCCUUUUUGAUCGAAGCCCUUCACAACCCUCGACACCGUCUAACCAGUCAGUAUUUUCUUUUAUUCUAAUUUUGGGUUUUGUUCAGCUUCAAGUUUAACAAUCUUGUUUCCUCUUAUUCAUUUCCCUCUUUCUUGUUGGAUGACAUCUUUUAGGGUUUUUAUUUUUAUGAACUUCCAACUGUGGUUGGUAAUUGUGAAUCUGUUAUUGUAUUUGUUUAAUUCUCAACAAAGGGGUUGUAGCUUUUGUCUCAACUUUGAUGCCACUUACAUAGGUUUUGUCUUAGCUUUAAUGGGCAUUUGCUAGUUUUAGUUCAGAUUAAGUAAGUUUUUGCCUCCAUGGAACUAGAAGAGAACCCUGUUCGCUAACUAUUUGGUUUUUAAUUCUCAAUUUUUGAAAAUUAAGUCUAUAAAUACUCAUCCAACCUUUCUUAUUCUUUACCAAUGGUUUAAAAACCAUACCAGAAUUUGAAAACUUGUUUUUGUUUUUCGAGUUCAACUCUUUUCAAAUUUUGGCAUGGUUUUUAAACCACCAGUAAAACAGUAACCUAAGAGUUCAACUCUUUUAAGAAAUUGAAAGGAUAUAAGUUAAUUUUCAAAAUUAAAAAACACCACAUGGUUAUCAAGCGAGGUCUAAGUUUCUUUUUGUUGAUAUUAUUCCCUUUUUUCAAUAUACUCUGCUCAUUGUAGUUUAUUUUUACCAUAGUUCUGCGGAUGGAACUUGAUAUUCAAAGGUUCUUGCAAAACCAAGAUCAGCAGUUGUUUGAGUUCCAACACUUCCCUACUUCGUACCUUCGACUCGCAGCUCAUCGUGUUGCUCAACACUAUGGUCUGCAGACAAUGGUUCAGGAUAAUGGUAUAGAUGGACAAGGGAGAAUUUUGGUGAAGAAAACUGUCGAAGCUAGAUUUCCAACCAUUUGCUUAUCCCAAAUACCUGCAAAACAAUUGGCUGAUGAUAAACCUGGGCACGUUAAAAUUGCUAUUAGGCCGAGGCCAAAUAAGUUGUCUGAUGAAGCAGGUAAUUGUAUGGCUAAGCAAAGUCAUGCUAGGACUGUGGAGCAGAGGAAGGAAGAGUACGAUAAGGCACGUGCUCGAAUAUUCAGCAGCCAAGGUAGUAUUGGUCCAGUGGAGGUAUUGCCCCAUACUGUCAUCGAGGGGCUUGGUAUACCUCCAAACAGAGAUAGGGUGGAAGAUUGUCGAGUGAACGAUGUUGAGAAGUAUACAAGUGUUACAGAUGCUGGGAAUGGGGCUUCUUCUCGGGUUGCCAUUUUAAGAGAUAGGGAAAAGGAUCUUAGUGACCCAGAUUAUGAUCGGAGUUAUGAAAGGUAAUGGCUCCUUUGAAACAGACUACACCUAUGCUGCUAGCUGAUAGUGCCAUUAUUACAUAUGCUGUUAUUGGUUUCUCCCUAUAUGAUGAGACCAUUUUAGCUGAUAGUUUUUCAAAACCUCAAUUCUUAUCAAACUUAUUAUAUUCAUUAUGCUAUGUAUUAUCUGAAUGGUUGGGUAUCUAAAUGCAUAUUAAUCAACAACUUGUUCUUCAUUUGUAGGUAUGUUAAGAGCCUUCCAAUUAAUCUGACUCCGAGCUUGAAUUUUGCUCCUUUCACCGUGCAAAACAUCACACCUUCAUUUACCGGUUACCAUGUACCAAGGAACGAGGUUUCACUGGGCUAUGUUUCUCCUUCACCAAUCAAGACUGUAGGAUUGAAUCAGGUGUCUAGACCCUCGGCCAAUGUGCCGUGGCCAUGUGCAGGGAUGCCAUACCCACAUACUGCUUUUCAGGUACAUUUAAGAUCUUUACAGUACACAGCCUCUGUUCUAUCACUUGAAUUGAUUAUUUGGUAAAUCUAAAAAGUUACAUCACACAACUUGGGUUCAUACUAGUGUUUACAAAAUUCACUUGGAUCGAUCUUGGUUAAUCUAGAAACAAUAUGGAGUAGCUACGAAAGUAAUUUGGCAAUGCUACAUAAAACUGCUUUUGCUAAUUUUAUCCGAAGAUCUCCCCCUUCUUCGAAUUUGACCAUAAAAUAGUUGGAUGAUGUUCUCCCUUUGCUAUUGUACCCCAAAGGUUAGGACACUUGGAACUUACACUUGGAACUUGCUCCUUCUCAUCAAUCUUAUUAUAACAGUGAUGGAGUAAUAGAUGAUAGGUUUUUCUCUCAACUCACGACAUAAAAUGCACCUAUUUGAUCAAAAAGAUGAAUUCGGUACACUGAUGAAUUCAUUGCUCCAAAAAUCAUUUUAAAAAAUAACCCUUCUAAACACACAAUACCUGUCUGAAAGUCUAUCUUCCAACUGUCUUAUCUUUCACAGUUGAUUCAAUAGUGUUACUGCCUUCUACUCGCUUGCUUGCUUUAUUUCUUUAGUGGAGAUACAUAAACUGUUUUAUUCCUUCUAAUCUCUUCUAACUAAAUUGUCUAAACGGAAGCUACGAUCAUUUCCGUCCAAACUUUUAUUCUAAAAACCCGUAUUAGAAACUUUCUAAACUUAACUCACAACUUCAUUUCAUCAUUUACGGUUGAUUCAGUAAGAUCGUCACGUCCUACCCUCUCCUUGUUCGACCACUAGGACGUUUUAAAGAAAACUAGAAUCAUUGUCUAUUCCAAACCUUGUUUGUACAAACGUCAUUUGAUUCUUACUUUUUCUUCAAUUUUUGCAAUUACUUUGUGUUGACUUAUUUUUGGUGUUAUUGCAGGCUCCAUUGUAUCAACAAUCUUUGAGUUUUGAUUAUUUGCAAUACAAUUGAAUACAGCAGUUAGGAAAUAGUGUUAAUUAAAAACUGAUUUACUCAGCUAAUUAUAUACUCAUUUUGUUGGUUCCAAAACCUCCCGUUAGAAUCAAUUGUUUUAAAUUAAACUCUUUUAUUUAUACUUACUGUCCUUUCUAAUAUUCAUUAUUGAGUGUCUUUCUGGGCACAGUGUUCAGGAUUCUAAAUUUCAGAUUUUGGUUUUUUAAAUGGACCAAUAAAAGAUAUUUUUUUUUUUCUUUCGAGAACAUUCCAUUUUUAUUUUGAAUUCAUUUUAAAUUAUAUGGCUUUGUUGUUUAAUAAAAAUAAAAUAAUUCAACUGAAAUCUAAUAUAGACAAACAUCUCAUGUUUUGACGUUUCUUUGCAAAGGAUAUUAUAUGUUGUUGGAUUGGUUUUCUUUUAAUGUUAAAUGUAAUUUUAGUAAUAAAAUUCAAUAGGUUGGAUGUUACUAACUUGAAACUGAAUUGUAGUUAUAUAACUAUUGAUAAUCAACGUAGGUUAUGGAUAUCUAUAUCAUAUAUAUAUAUAUAAGUAUAUUUUAUAAUACUCUUCCUUAAAUAUUCAUUUUAUAUAAAAUAAAUACCUUGUUAAGAUCUUCCUAGUUUUUAAAAAAAAUGUUAGAGAAGGAAGAAGAGUACAUUAUUUUGUAUAAUUUAAUAAUUUUUUCAUUAAAAACUUAAGAAAUCCAAUGGAAAAAUACAAUAGGCAAAGAAAAAGAGUAAUAUUUUUACUCCAUGAGUGCAAUUUCUAUUCUCCUAAUCCAUACAUUACUUGAGUUCUUCCUGUUGUCGCAUUUUAAUGUAGGAUAUCAGUUUUUCACAUGUUGAUAUAUGUAAUGUCUUUGUGAUUAAGUUUGACAAGUUGUCUUUUGAAGAAAUUUGUUGAAUAUCGUUGUCACCAUUUCUUCACCGUGUAUAGAAGAGUUUUGGUGAGAUAUGCUUUGUUCUAUUGCAUUUUAUAUAUACUCAUUUGAUUUGUGUCAUACAAGCGGUAUUGUCUUCAAAUAAUAUUGUUGGUGAAUUUUUACUAAAAGAUAAACUACAUGUUUCUCAAAUAUGAUGGGUCAUUGAUCUCAACCAUACACAUUUUCGAUUAGCUACAUGAAUUGCAAGAAUUUCUGCAUAAUUUAAUGAGGUAGUGGUAAUGUUGUGCUUGUUUGAUUUGUUGGAAUAAAACAAAGGAAUUCUUACAAAAAUAGCAAAAAAAAAUCGACUCAUGUCACUACAUUUUUUAAAUUGCAAAGGUAGAAAAUUUAAAAGUCAAUAAUAUUAUGAUUACCAUCUGAUAGUCGUAUGAUUAUGGUCUGUUAGUAGCCUGAUAUCACUAAUUUUGUUAUAUUGAGAAUAUGCAAAAAAAAUAGAUGUUUUUAGAUGUUUUUUUCUAAAUAUUUUUGUCAUUUGUGCCAUUUUUCUAAAAUAAACAUAAUAUCAAUCGUCCCUUAAAGACAACAAAGUAUCUACUUAACUCCAUUUCAAUGUCUUUUUUGUUGGAUAAGGACUGUAUUGCUAAUAAAUUUACUGAAAAUGUUAUAUCUCGUCUCGUCUUAGUAGCGAGAUAUAUUAGUGCAUCUAUUGCACUACAGUAUGGUACUUCAGGACCAAGUAAUUAUUCAUUAUCUUCUUGAAAUUGAAAUAUAUCAUUUUUCACAUCUAGUGAUCAAACUACCAUUGAAAUGUUCAAUAGGCAUGUUUUAUCCAUGAAGAAUCUUUUUUAAAAAAAAUUUAUAUAUGUCGAUUGAUGAAUAAAAUUUUCAUCAACUAAAUACUCGAUUUGCAAGCCAAGGAAAAUUUUCAUUUUGUCUAGGUCUUUCAUCUCAAAUUCUUUUUCAAGAUAUUCUAUUGUCUUUGAAAGCUAUUUCAGGGUUCCAAUUAUAUUUAAAUAAUCAACAUAUAAAACUGUAAUAGUAAAUCCUGACUAUUUACUUAUAAGUGAUUGUACCACAUUCUAUUUACUUAUAAUUGAUUGUACCACAUUUGUCCUGAUUGCUUCAAUCCAUAUAAUUUGAUUGAAUAUAAUUAUCUAGAGUUUGAAUUAUAUGAUUCAAGUAUCUUAAAUUUUUCAGGUCUUUCAUAUAGAUUUCAUUUUCCAAAGAUCCAUACAUGUAUAUUGUAACUACAUUUGGAAGAUGCAUAUCAAGUUUUUCACAUAUAAUUGGUUAACUAAAUUUCUUAACGUAAUAGCUAAAGGGAUAAAAGCCGUAGGACAACAGAAGAUUUUACCGAACCAUUUUUCAAUUUAAUUUGAGAAUCUCAAAAUAUAGUACAUAUAUAGGCAAAAUAAUAUAAAAACAUAUUUUCUUAUUAAGACUUAAAAGCUAAACAUGCUUUCUAAUUAUAGAUUAGAGAAAGAAUAACUUAUUUGUUUAUGUCUCUAAUCUACAAAGUAAAUCUCUAAAUUGGAACACUAUCCGUCGGAUACCUUAUCCUCUAGGAUAAGAUUGAUUUGUGGGAAUUAAUUGGGAUGAGAAAAAUGUUUAGAGAGAAGUUUUCUUUUUUUUUUUUUGCAGAGAGCGAAAACAUUAACUUUUUUUAUUAAUUGAUUAAAUAAUUUUCUCUCUAGAUAUUUAUAGCUAUUUCCUUCGUGGAGUGGAAAGGGGAGUCGGAGAGAAUCAUUAUAUUAUUUUAAUUUAAAAAGUAUUAAAUUAAUAUAAAUUUCAAAUCUACUAAUUAAUUAACCAUUAAUCGAUUAGUUAAUAAUUAAUUAAAGAGGCUUUUGCAAAAAUAACAAAAAAAAUUAUUAUAGUAAAGCUCAUGUCACAACAUUUUCUAAAUUUACAAAAGUAUCAAAUUUAAAAGUAUUGACCCUUUGAUAGCCCUAUGAUUACCGUCUAAUAGCCGUAUGAUAUCAUUAGUUUUGUCAUAUUCACAAUAUGCAAAAAAUUGGUGUCAUAAACUGUUUUUCUUUAAAUAUGUUUUUGUCAUUUGAUGCAAUUUUUCUUAAUUAGAUCAUAUUUAAUUAAUAUUUCAUUUAAAUCUUACUUAAUGAAUAUCUCUCCAAUAUCUUAUAGUUUUAUAUUAAUUUAAUUUAAUUAAAUAAAACUAAACUACUCAUUAUUUUUUAAUUAAUUAAUAGUUAAAUUAAAUAUCUUAUAUUUAACUUAAAUUAAAUUUGAAUCAUAAAUAUAAGUUUCUCUCCUAACCAAUAAUUUUAACAUGAAUCUAAUUCACAUUAAAUUAAUACUUGAACUCAUUCAAAUAUUUUAUCUCUCAUAAAUUAAUUUUGAAUCAUAUCCAAAAUUAAAUUUAUAUAAUAAAGUUUGAUAAACUUUAUAUUACAAUGUAUCACGGUUUAUUAAACUAAUUCCCAAAAUAGUUUUGAACAUUUCAAAUUAUAACGAAUAUAAAUAAAUUUCAUUAUCCUUUACGAGCUAAAAAGGGGACUUAAGGGACCUAUAGAUCAGAAGUUACAACGAUAUGAGAUUAAUUAGCUAAACUCAUUAACCACAUUAAUCAAUAUUCCUUAACUGUGUGUACACUCCAUUAUAGACUCAUAGCUGAACUCUUCUCACUGUAGAUAUAUUUUUGUGUCUACGAAUAUAAACCAAUAACAUUAAGUUAGUCCUUCACGAGUGUUCGUAACACAAAUUGGGUUAAAUUACCAUUUUAUCCAUGGGUUACCUCUAAUCCUUAAAUAUCAGUGCUCAUUUAAUGAACAACCUAUUUAUGAUCCUACCAAUAAACAGAAAUCUCUCUUGUACCAUAGAGAGAGUAGAGUCAUUUGUUCAAGUCCUAGAGACAUCAAUUAAGGAAACACUCAUUAAUUAGACUAUAUCGAAAAAACUUUAUUCCUUCUUUCCAAAUGACAAAGGUCCCUAUUUAUAGACUCGAGAGUGUUCCACAAAUUAGAAAAAUUAAUAAGAAUCAAAUCAAAAUUGGAUAUUAUACAAAUAAAAUAAAAUUUUAUUUGUUUAAAAUAAAUAAAGUAAAUUAAAUUAGACAUUUUGAGAUUUUGUGAAAAAUUAAUAAAUCAAAUUGGUAUUAAAAGAUUUUUUUUAAUUGAUUUUCUUUUUUUUCCCUAAAAUGAUAUAAAUAAGUCAAAAAGGAUAUUAGAAGAUUUUAUUUAAAACAAAUAAAUUCUUUUUUUCUAAAAUAGUACAAAUAAGAUAAAUGUGAUAUUAAAAGAUUUUUUAAAAUAAAUUGAUUUGUCCUUUUAAAUGAUAAUUAUGCUCAUUAAAGAAAAUUUUAAAAAAAUGAUUAUUAGAAGAAAAAAUAAAAAUCUUAGCCAUUAUUAUAUUUUAAAAAAAGAAUAUAAAAAAUGUAGGAUAAAAUUAGGUGGCUAUAAUAAAUUUAGAAAAUAUAUUUUUAGGGAAUACAACAUUUUUACUAAUAACAAUCUUAAUCUUAUGAACAUAAAUUCUCAUCGCAUCAAAUUACAAACACAACAAUCAUAAUGAAUUCCACAUGUUUCGUUCAUCGAGAUGUUCUUCGUUCACCAGAAUCUCACGAUAGACUUGGGAUUUUGACCAGAGCCUUUCAAAAUCACUCUUUUUUUUUUACCUGGGAUUCACUUUCACCAGCGUCUCAUGAUACAACCUUACCUAGAUCUAGGAUUCACUUUCACCAACAUUUACCUGUCUAGACCUAGGAUGCACUUACACCAGCAUCUCUCGUUAAACCUGAAAUUUCCACCAGCGCCUUGUGAUACAUCAUACCACACCACACAUCAUUCAAUCAUUACACUUAACAAGAUAAGAAACGUUUUCUCCAAAAGCUUUACAUGCAACACAUCGCAUCUCAUUAGUAUCAUUCUCAAAUGUUGAACAUCAAACAUAAGAUUACAGUGUAUAAUCAUUCACAGAGCAUUUCUUUCAUUUUAUAAAAGAACAUUCAUUUAAUUUAUAAAGAUCACUCACAACAAUACUUAGCAUCAACUUCUUCUUAGCUUAUUUUUUCCUUUUUUGCUUUCAACUUUCUCUCCUCUCUUUGUAGUUCCCUCGAUCGACCUUUCAACACUUGGCACUUUCUGUUAACAAUUUAUUAGAAUGCUUAGCAUUUUAUGCCCUUUUCUUUCGACCUCUUGGUCUUAUUUAUAGUGACUAUUUGGAAUGAUAGGUCAUUUCUACACUUUACACAUGUCAAGCUACCACUCAGCAGACCAUACAACCAACACAAUUUUGACACGUUGUCAAUUGUUACUCGUGAUUAGACAUUUUUUUUUUUAACAUUAACCUUAUCUCUUUAGAAUGCUCAGUUCUUUAUCGAGUGACUCUCUUUUUGAGAAGCAACAAAACAUUUACUUUCCCUCAGAGGGUCGUCUAGUCACCUCAUGUGAAUAUCCAUCCUUUCAACAAAUGCCUACUUUGUCGCAAUCUUACUUAGGUGUAGGGACUUCUCCUCAUGUUACUACAUAGAACACCUAGUUCUUUGCAUUAAAUACCUGCUUCUUCCUC